GAGUUGGGGGUGUACUUAGAGAUGAGUUGGUACUCUUAUCACAUGGACAAGUAGUCCUAAGGGGCAAAGGUUGCCCUAGAGAACAAAAUCAAGUGUCAGAGUAACACUUGUGAAAAUAGUCCUUGUGAAUAGGAUGUGAAUGCAAGAAGUGUAUUCCAGUGAGCAAGUGCCUCACAAGUAGGACCUUACGGGUCUGUGGAUUAACCAAGUCCAAAACUGCUGGAUGACUCAAGUAGAGUCAAGGAAUGGUCCUAAAGGACUGAUGGAAGCAUUUGGACUGAGGUGUGUAGUACCCCACGAAGGAUGGGGGGGAUCAUAGGAUCCAAGGAUGAGAACAGAGGGUAUUUCAUCGAUGGCAAAAUGUGCUAUGCUAAAGUCGUGGGAAGGGUGUUCCCAAAAGAAAACAACUUUGAAACAAAGUUGUGUAUGAUGUAAGCGACUAAAUUUUCCAUUCUACUUUAGUCACUUAACCACACUUCCAACCACUUGGAGGAGUCUCAUUCACCACCUCCAUAAGUCCAAUCCAGGACUUGGGACUUGCUAGCCCCGAGAAUGGCAUCCAUGCCACUCAACAUUUGCACUUGGUCCAAGUGCUCCACGUGUCCGAUCCCAUGACCGACACUCAAAGGUACCACCGACAUAGCAGCCCGUUACGCUAAGGCCAUGCCCAAUCACCUUUGCCACACUGGUAGUCCAAUACCACUUGCAUCACAGUCUUGGCUCCCCAAGACUAGGCAAACCAUCCGUGAGUGGUCAUCUCAGAUCCACUCCUUAGCAUCCUUAGGAUGCCCACCGACAAGGGGAAUAGCCUUCCCCAAUAUCCCUCUGUCAGUCCCCACUAAGUCCCUUUCUGCCCCUGGCCGUGUUUGCCAACACUGCCACUGGACCGAGACCCACAGGCCCGACCACUAAGUCCCACGGUCCUCUGGGACUUCCUCACCACACGACUGUGUCCUUGGUCACUACCCCAGAGGACUGCUCCUCUUCCUUUCCACAGUCUGGGCCUUUGGGACAACAUUUCGGAACACCGUGGCCUUACGCGAGCCACCUGGGUACUCUCCCCGCCUUUCGCCUUUAGGUGCUCUAGCCAUGGGCUUAGAGCGGGUUCCGUUGAGCCACACCAGGUAUCCAAGUAGGUAGUGCCACCCACACUUGGAUUGGGAGCAUCGGCCAGUCGAUCUCCCGGGGGAACUAGAGCCGGCUCUUGAACACUUCACCAAGCUACCCCGCUUGUCGGUCUGUGUUCACUCUAGUCUUGGACUUCCCAGUGGGCAGCUCAUCACCCAACACUGGGUCCGGCCUUCCUGGGCCAAACUGGCCUUUCCUGGCCAAACUGGCUCCACUGCAGUCCUCCCCCUACUAUACUUUUGGGGCUCACCAAACCCCCCAGGGUCUGGGAGACGAACGCUUUGGGCUUUCACCCUCUCAGGCUCCGGACUCGGACUCGGACUCGGACUCGGACUCGGACUCCGACUCGGACUCGGAUUCGGACUCGGGCUCGGGCUCGGUCUCGGCCUCGGCCUCGGUCUCGGUCUCGGUCCCGAUCUCGGUCUCGGUCUCGGUCUCGGUCCCGGUCUCGGUCCCGGUCUCGGUCUCGACUUCGGACUCCAUCUCGGACUCCAUCUCGGACUCCAUCUCGGACUCCAUCUCGGACUCCAUCUCGGGUCCAUCUCGGGUCCAUCUCGGACUCCAUCUCGGACUCCAUCUCGGGUCCAUCUCGGACUCCAUCUCGGACUCCAUUUUGGGUCCAUCUCGGGUCCACCUCGGACUCCAUCUCGGACUCCAUCUCGGACUCCAUCUCGGGUCCAUCUCGGACUCCACUUCAGACUCCAACUCGGGUCCAUCUCGGGUCCACCUCGGACUCCAUCUCGGACUCCAUCUCGGACUCCACUUCGGACUCCAACUCGAGUCCAUCUCGGACUCCACUUCGGACUCCAACUCGAGUCCAUCUCGGACUCCACUUCGGACUCCAACUCGAGUCCAUUUCGGACACUCCCACGUGUCAUGUGUUGGUCCUUUUGGGUCCCUUUUUGGAGCCUUGCCUUUUGCUCACUUUGUGCUCGUUCCUCGAGCACUUCGUUGGGAGUUCCACUCCCGCUCUUGACUUUUCAAGUCGGAGCUUUUGGUCCAAACGUGUUACGCUCUUUUGGCUCUCGCUUCGGCCACUACCAUGUGGCGCCCUUCCGGCUCCACUUUGGGGCCUAGGGAUUUUGUGUCUCACAACUCCACCACCCAUAGACGAAGUUCGAUGUCCUCAUCGAACGGUAAACCCUUUCAUAAAGUAACACCCACACGUGUUACUAUUUCCAUCCUUGGCACCUAGCCAAUCUUUGUCUAUGGUUUGACAUCAAAGGCUCACCAUGCCUUGUCCAUCCUUUAAGGAGUGUAGUCUCUCCAACUUAGAGACUGAUGGGACCACAUGUAAUGGUUCUCUCCUUUUAUUGGUUUAGUUCUCGCUAAACCUCUUAGAGACCCUUCUCUAAGUCAAUCCCACUACUCCUUCUCGAGUAGUCUCAAUUUCCAUCGAUAUAACCUUUGCACUUUGGAACUUUGAAUUUUGACUUCUUGGAGUCAAUUUCCUAGGUGUCUCCAACACCUUGCAUUGCACAGAUUGUGCGACUUCACUUCCCUAUCCUAGGAAGUUCAUUACUUGAGGGCACCAUCAUCCUCUCUUCUAUUUCGUGCCACCUUGGGCACUAAGUUCCAUUUAUCACACUUUGUGCUAGGGUUGUCCAUCGCCCUAUCAUUUGGCUACCUUACCGCUCCCUCCCUUGGAGCUUCCACUUUCGCCAAAUCGGAGCAAUUCGGAAUCCCUCCUUGGAAACACACUUCCUUUCCCGCAACUUAUUAGCGUCCAACACAUUAGUGUUCCUCGCCUAACUUUGUCACUUGGAUUCCUUCCAAGGGAUUCCACGGCCCUAUCUUGGCCACUCAUCUUUUGCUCCUAUCCGUUGAUUGUUGCACCAAGCAACAUCGAAUCUCUACCUCCCUCCUUGAGGUAUUGUUUCGGUUCCAUAGCAAAGACUCUUCUUUGCCAAGUCCGGAGGAUGUUCACCCCUAGUACGUCUCUUUAGCAUCUUCUGCUAUGGGCUCUAUCCACGGCCCAACUUCGUGACCCUCCCAUGGGUCUUUUAUAAAGACUACUUUCCUCGGACUCACUAUGCCAUCGCACGGACAUAGUUUAUUUCCCUUAGGUGCUCUUCCCACUUGGUUAUCACGACCAAGCCACACCACCUUAAACAGUUCAAUUUCAACAUUUGAACCAGGAACUUCAUUCCUUAGCCAACCAAGGACCUUGUCCUUUUCUGGCCAUAAGAUCACCUAGUGAUCUCACCUUGGCACAUUAACAGAGUUGCCAAGAGGUACUUGGUUUUCUAGACCUCCAAGUUGUUGACUAUAACCCCGGGGGCAUCCCCCACACUUGGCGGUGCACCCAAGCUAGCCCUUACGGCCAAGGGUUCAUAGCAACUGAGAUUAGGUGUCCCCAUCUCACUCACCACGACCUUGGUGCCACUUGCACCAAAGUGUUCAAGUUAGAUAUGCUGAGCUUUCACACUAAGCAAUCUAACCGUGCAUCACGACUCCGAGGCAUCCCUCGCUUGGCGGUGUGCCCAAACCAGUCUCCCCACUGAGAGUCCAUGACCACCGAAAUAUGAGUGUCCUCAUAUUCCAAACCAUCACCACGCCCUAGUGAUUUGGGACUCGAACCCAAGCACUAGAGGGUCGGGACUCGAACCCAACCUCCGUAUAUGCAUCUACGGACGGCAUCACACUAGAUGCCUGGCGUGACUCCCCACGCCGGUGCACCAACUUAUUUUUUAAAGCGCGCUACAGAUCACAGCUUAGGAACCUAGUUCCUCCACACUGCCAAGUCCUCUCCCUUGACAGGUCUGUGAUCAUGCAUGGACUCCUCCAUGCUCGGCCCCAUGGCCCACCCUUUUUGGAGUUAUCACCUUCAACUAGGGUAUUUGUUCCCCCGACGUUCCAAUCUCACUUGGCAAGUCCUCCGACCAUUGUAACAUGGUUCCUGCAUAAGCGUGAAAGUCCUUGACCAUUAACUUUCGUUCAAAGCCCUCUCUUUGAACACUCGGGAACUACUUCCCUAACCUUGAUAACCUUGCCUCAUGGCAAGCUUCAAGACCACGCUUCUGCUGCGCCACCCUGAUUUCACGCGUUCCAUGAACCAUUUACACUUGGCCUUUCUAGGUACUACGCUACCUAGAAUCGUCUUUGGGAACCUUGAAGGAACUCUGUCCCUCAGCUUGCUAAGGCCUCCCCUUUCGCAAGCUUUAUAGUUGCCAUAUAGUCUAACAUGGACAAUUCCAUAUUUUAGACUCUCCAUGGCAUCACGGUUGCUAGCAACAACAUCCUCGAGCACCCUCUUGAUUCUCCACUCCCAACUUUCAUAACCACUGUUGGAUAUGCCCUUUGAUUUCUAUGGUUCAAUUCCAUCCCAAUACUACUUGCUUUUGGCUUCACACCUUUCCUUCGGUCAUUCUCCUCCAGACCAGGAGGAUAGCUUUGCACUUUCUAUCAUGCUUUAGCAAGUAUUCUUAGGGAUGGACCUACCCAAUAGCCUAGGGAGUGGUUCCUCAAUCCGGGUAUGCUCACCUUAUAAUCCCACACACUGGGAUUACAUUGUUGCUUAUGGGCCUUUACAUGCCCAUCAUUAGCCUUGCCAAAAUUCCAUUUUUGGCUUUGUCCAAUUCGGGUAGACAGUCCUCUCCUGUCUCCGCAACCUUGGACAUUUGGAUAGCACCUUCUAUCCAUCAUUCGCUAGGGACUUAGUCCCUUGGGCUUUAUCCAUUGCCCUCGCGACAUCAAACACCACCUUCUGGUGUUCUAGAGUGUCCGGAUGUCCCAAUGAUGGCUUUCUUGACAAUGAGUAUUUCCUUUUAUGACAUUGACUUACUAUAUCGCAACACAAGCAACUUAUCCCCCGUAAGGGUAUAUCCAACUUCCUUAUGCUAUUAAGAAGUCUUGGGUAGCUACCUUCUACCCGUUUAACCAGUUAUUUUGCACCUCUUGCUUAGUUGCCUCAUAGUUGUCAAGUCCUACAACUCAUUGCUUGGUGCUUUCACACCUCCAUCAUUAUCUGGGUCACCACACUCCAACUGCAUGCUCUGCAACUUAGGCUAUGCUAUUCCCAUUUCCAUUGGGAUUCCUUUGGCAAGGGGUUCUCAUGAACCCACCAACAUAGCCUCAAAGUAUCACACCUUGGCACAUUUGGUGUCUCCACACCAUUGGCUCCACGAGCCUACCUCUAUGACAUUUCCCCUUCGUGUCUAAGUCUUUACCAAGACCAACACCGCUCUUUCUCAUGCCAACCAUCCGUUAGCACUGCACCAUAGAGGUCACACACAACUUUAUGUCAAAGUUGUUUUCUUCUGGGAACACCUUUCCCAUAACUUUAGCAUGGCACAUUUUGCCAUUGAUGAGAUACCCUCUGUUCUCAUCCUUGGAUCCUAUGAUUCCCCCCCAUCCUUUAUGGGGUACAACACACCUCAGUCCAAAUGCUUCCAUCAGUCCUUUUAGGACCAUCCGUUGACUCUACUUGAGUCAUCCAGCAGUUUUGGACUUGGUUAAUCCAUAGACCCGUAAGGUCCUACUUGUGAGGUACUAGCUCACUGGAAUACACUUCUUGCAUUCCUGUCCUACUCAAAAGGACUAUUUUCACAAGUGUUACUCCGACACUUGAUUUUGUUCUCUAGGGGUAACCUUUGCCCCUUAGGACUACUUGUCCAUGUGAUGAGAACACCAACUCAUCCACUUAAUACACCCCCAACUCCUGGGGUUGUUCCAGCAUUUAUUAGAGGUAGCCCCGGCUACCUUUUCAAGGACUUGAGUCCUCUUCCAUAUUUGACCUCCCACGGUCAUUACUUCUGGUCUCACAUUCAUGAGCACCAACCUCAACUAUAUGAGGAAAAUCUUGUGACUCCUUUAUUGCUUUGGAGUCUUUAUCUUUCCCGUGAUCCCAAUUGUAGUUGUUUACCACAACUACAUUAGCCAGUUUGCUAAGUCAAACGCUCAUCUGGAUCACAUCCUCAACUCCUUUGAGGAAAACCAUAUAUUGUUCCCAAGAUCCCAAAGUCGUUCCAUUAUUGGCCCUUUUCUAUCUACCACCUCGUCUACAAGUUCACACACGAACUAUAAUGGAGAGCCAUGUCUUCCCGACUUGCUACUCCUCAAGGAUAGGCCCACUCCUCGGACCUUUCGAUGCCAACACUAGUGGUGAUAUACUUGAGCACCAAUAAAAGUCGGACUAAGGAACAGCUCCGAUACCAAGUUGUAAGCGACUAAAUUUUCCAUUCUACUUUAGUCACUUAACCACACUUCCAACCACUUGGAGGAGUCUCAUUCACCACCUCCAUAAGUCCAAUCCAGGACUUGGGACUUGCUAGCCCCGAGAAUGGCAUCCAUGCCACUCAACAUUUGCACUUGGUCCAAGUGCUCCACGUGUCCGAUCCCAUGACCGACACUCAAAGGUACCACCGACAUAGCAGCCCGUUACGCUAAGGCCAUGCCCAAUCACCUUUGCCACACUGGUAGUCCAAUACCACUUGCAUCACAGUCUUGGCUCCCCAAGACUAGGCAAACCAUCCGUGAGUGGUCAUCUCAGAUCCACUCCUUAGCAUCCUUAGGAUGCCCACCGACAAGGGGAAUAGCCUUCCCCAAUAUCCCUCUGUCAGUCCCCACUAAGUCCCUUUCUGCCCCUGGCCGUGUUUGCCAACACUGCCACUGGACCGAGACCCACAGGCCCGACCACUAAGUCCCACGGUCCUCUGGGACUUCCUCACCACACGACUGUGUCCUUGGUCACUACCCCAGAGGACUGCUCCUCUUCCUUUCCACAGUCUGGGCCUUUGGGACAACAUUUCGGAACACCGUGGCCUUACGCGAGCCACCUGGGUACUCUCCUCGCCUUCUGCCCUUGGGUGCUCUAGCCAUGGGCUUAGAGCGGGUUCCGUUGAGCCACACCAGGUAUCCAAGUAGGUAGUGCCACCCACACUUGGAUUGGGAGCAUCGGCCAGUCGAUCUCCCGGGGGAACUAGAGCCGGCUCUUGAACACUUCACCAAGCUACCCCGCUUGUCGGUCUGUGUUCACUCUAGUCUUGGACUUCCCAGUGGGCAGCUCAUCACCCAACACUGGGUCCGGCCUUCCUGGGCCAAACUGGCCUUUCCUGGCCAAACUGGCUCCACUGCAGUCCUCCCCCUACUAUACUUUUGGGGCUCACCAAACCCCCCAGGGUCUGGGAGACGAACGCUUUGGGCUUUCACCCUCUCAGGCUCCGGACUCGGACUCGGACUCGGACUCGGACUCGGACUCCGACUCGGACUCGGAUUCGGACUCGGGCUCGGGCUCGGUCUCGGCCUCGGCCUCGGUCUCGGUCUCGGUCCCGAUCUCGGUCUCGGUCUCGGUCUCGGUCCCGGUCUCGGUCCCGGUCUCGGUCUCGACUUCGGACUCCAUCUCGGACUCCAUCUCGGACUCCAUCUCGGACUCCAUCUCGGACUCCAUCUCGGGUCCAUCUCGGGUCCAUCUCGGACUCCAUCUCGGACUCCAUCUCGGGUCCAUCUCGGACUCCAUCUCGGACUCCAUUUUGGGUCCAUCUCGGGUCCACCUCGGACUCCAUCUCGGACUCCAUCUCGGACUCCAUCUCGGGUCCAUCUCGGACUCCACUUCAGACUCCAACUCGGGUCCAUCUCGGGUCCACCUCGGACUCCAUCUCGGACUCCAUCUCGGACUCCACUUCGGACUCCAACUCGAGUCCAUCUCGGACUCCACUUCGGACUCCAACUCGAGUCCAUCUCGGACUCCACUUCGGACUCCAACUCGAGUCCAUUUCGGACACUCCCACGUGUCAUGUGUUGGUCCUUUUGGGUCCCUUUUUGGAGCCUUGCCUUUUGCUCACUUUGUGCUCGUUCCUCGAGCACUUCGUUGGGAGUUCCACUCCCGCUCUUGACUUUUCAAGUCGGAGCUUUUGGUCCAAACGUGUUACGCUCUUUUGGCUCUCGCUUCGGCCACUACCAUGUGGCGCCCUUCCGGCUCCACUUUGGGGCCUAGGGAUUUUGUGUCUCACAUAUGACCUCUAUGGUGCAGUACUAACGGAUGGUUGGCACAAGAAAGAGUGGUAUUGGUCUUGGCAAAGACUUAGACACAAAGAAGAAGUGUCAUAGAGGUAGGCUCCUGGAGCCGAUGGUGUGGAGACACCAAAUGUGCCAAGGUGUGAUACCUUGAGGCUAUGUUGGUGGGUUCAUAAGAACCCCUUGCCAAAGGAAUCCCAAUGGAAAUGGGAAUGGCAUAUCCUAAGUUGCAGAGCAUGCAGUUGGAGUGUGGUGACCCAGAUAAUGAUGGAGGUGUGGAAGCACCAGCAAUGAGUUGUAGGACUUGACAACUAUGAGGCAACUAGGCAAGAGGUGCAAAAUAACUGGUUAAACGGGUAGAAGGUAGCUACCCAAGACUUCUUAAUAGCAUAGGGAAGUUGGAUAUACCCUUACGGGGGAUAAGUUGCUUGUGUUGCGAUAUAGUAAGUCAAUGUCAUAAAAGGAAAUACUCAUUGUCAAGAAAGCCAUCAUUGGGACACCCGAACACUCUAGAACACCAGAAGGUGGUGUUUGAUGUCGCGAGGGCAAUGGAUAAAGCCCAAGGGACUAAGUCCCUAGCGAAUGAUGGAUAGAAGGUGCUAUCCCAAAUGUCCAAGGUGGCAGAGACAAGAGAAGACUGUCUACUCGAACUGGACAAAGCCAAAAAUAGAAUUUUGGCAAGGCUAGCGAUGGGCAUGUAAAGGCUCAUAAGCAACAACGUAAUCUCGGUGUGUGGGAUUAUAGGGUGAGCAUACCUGGAUUGAGGAACCACUCCCUAGGCUAUCGGGUAGGUUCAUCCCUAAGAAUACUUGCUAAGGCAUGAUAGAAAGUGCAAAGCUAUCCUCCUAGUCUGGAGGAGAAUGACCAAAGGAAAGGUGUGAAGCCAAAAGCAAGAAGUAAAGGGGUAGAACCGAACCAUAGGAAUCGAAGGGCAUAACCAAGGUUGGUUAUGCCAGCUGGGAGUGGAGAAUCAAGUGGGGGCUUGAGGGUGUUGCCGUUAGCAACCGUGAUGCCAUGGAGAGUCUAAAAUAUGGAAUUGUCCAUGUUAAACUAUAUGGUAAUUGGAAAGCUUGCAAAAAGGGAGGCCUUAGCAAGUUAAAGGACAGAGUUCCUUCAAGGUUCCCAAAGAUGAUUCUAGGUAACUUAGUACUUAGAGAGGCCAAGUGUAAAUGGUUCAUGAAACGUGCGAAAUCAGAGUGGCGCAGCAGAAGCGUGGUCUUGAAGCUUGCCAUGAGGCAAGGCUAUCAAGGUUAGGGAAGUAGUUCCCGAGUGUUCAAAGAGAGGGCUUUUAAUGAAAGUCGAUGAUCAAGGGCUUUCACGCUUGUGCAGGAACCAUGUUACAGUGGUCAGAGGGCUUGCCAAAGUGAGAUUGGCAAGUCAGGGGAACAAAUACCCUAGUUGAAGGUGAUAACUUCAAAAGGGGUGGGCCAUGGGGCCAAGCAUGGAGGAGUCAAUGCAUGAUCACCAACUUGUCAAGUGAGAGGACUUGGCAGUGUGGAGGAACUAGGUUCCUAAGCUGUGAUCUGUAGCGCGCUUUGAGUAUAAGUUGGUGCACCGGCGUGGGGAGUCACGCCAGGCAUCUUGUGUGAUGCCGUCCGUAGAUGCAUAUACGGAGGUUGGGUUCGAGUCCCGACCCUCUAGUGCUUGGGUUCGAGUCCCAAAUCACUAGGGCGUGGUGAUGGUUUGGAAUAUGAGGACACUCAUAUUUCGGUGGUCAUGGACUCUCAGUGGGGAGACUGGUUUGGGCACACCGCCAAGCAAGGGAUGCCUCGGAGUCGUGAUGCAUGGUUAGAUUGCUUAGUGUGAAAGCUCGGCAUAUCUAACUUGAACACUUUGGUGCAAGUGGCACCAAGGACGUGGUGAGUGAGAUGGGGACACCUAAUCUCAGUUGCUAUGGACCCUUGGCCGGAAGGGCUAGCUUGGGCGCACCGCCAAGUGUGGGGGUCGUAGUUAACAAGUUAAAGGUCUGGAAGACCUAGUAUCUAUUGGCAAACUUGUUAAGGUGCCGAGGUGAAAUCACUAGGUGAUCUUGUGGCUAAAUAAGGACAAGGUCCUUGUUUGGGUUAAGGAAUAAGGUUCCUAGUUCAAAGUGUUGAUUUGAACUAUUGAUGAUGGUGUGGCUUGGUCAAGGUGACCAAGUGGGAAAAGCACCUUAGGGAAAUGAGCUAUGUCAUUGCGAUGGCAUAGUGUGUCCAAGGAAAGUAGUCUCUAAAGAGACCCAUGAGAGGGUCACAAAGUUGGGCCGAGGAUAGAGCCCACAGCAAAAGAUGCUAAAAGAGACUUACUAGGGGUGAACACCCUAGUCUUGGCAAAGCAAAGCCUUUGCUAUGGGAUCAAAAGAACACCGCAAGGAGGGAGGUAGAGAUUCGAUGUUGCUUGGUGCAACAAUUAAUUGAUAGGAGCAAAAGAUGAGUGGCCAAGAUAGGGCCGUGGAAUUCCUUGGAAGGAAUCCAAGUGACAAAGUUAGGCGAGGAACACUAAUGUGUUGGACGCUAACAAAUUGCGGGAAAGGAAGUGUGUUUCCAAGGAUGGAUUCCGAAUUGCUCCGAUUUGGCGAAAGUGGAAGCUCUAAGGGAGGGAGCGGUAAGGUAGCCAAAUGAUAGGGCGAUGGACAACCCUAGCACAAAGUGUGAUAAAUGGAACUUAGUGCCCAAGGUGGCACGAAAUAGAAGAGAGGAUGAUGGUGCCCUCAAGUAAUGAACUUCCUAGGAUAGGGAAGUGGAGUUGCACAAUUUGUGCAAUGCAAGGUGUUGGAGACACCUAGGAAAUUGACUUCCAAAAGUCAAAAGAGUAGAAGAUCCAAGGUGCAAACAUUUAAUAGAUGGAAAUUGAGACUACUCGAGAAAGAGUAGUGGGAUUGACUUAGAGAAGGGUCUCUAAGAGGUUUAGCAAGAACUAAACCAAUAAAAGGAGAGAACCACUACAUGUGGUCCAAUCAGUCUCUAAGUUGGAGAGACUACCCUCCUUAGAGGAUAGGCAAGGCAUGGUGAGCCUUUGGUGUCAAAACCAUUGACGCAUAUGCAAAAGGCAUGGUGAGCCUUCAAUGUCAAACCAUUGACAAAUAUUGGCUAGGUGCCAAGGAUGGAAAUGGUAACACAUGCGAGUGUGACUUUACAAAAUGGUUUACCGUUCGAUGAGGACAUCGAACUUUGUCUAUGGGUGGUGGAGUUGUGAGACACAAAAUCCCUAGGCCCCAAAGUGGAGCCGGAAAGGGUGCCAUGUGGUAGUGGCUGAAGUGAGAGCCAAACGAGCGUAACACGUUUGGACCAAAAGCUCCGACUUGAAAAGUCAAGAGCGGGAGUGGAACUCCCAACGAAGUGCUCGAGGAACGAGCACGAAGCGAGCAAAAAGCGAGGCUCCAAAAAGGGACCCAAAAGGACCAACACAUGACACGUGGAAGUGUCCGAGAUGGACUCGAGUUGGAGUCCGAAGUGGAGUCCGAGAUGGACUCGAGUUGGAGUCCGAAGUGGAGUCCGAGAUGGACUCGAGUUGGAGUCCAAAGUGGAGUCCGAGAUGGACUCGAGUUGGAGUCCGAAAUGGAGUCCGAGAUGGACUCGAGUUGGAGUCCGAAGUGGAGUCCGAGAUGGAGUCCGAGGUGGACCCGAGAUGGAGCCAAAAUGGAGUCCGAGAUGGAGUCCGAGAUGGAGUCCGAGGUGGACCCGAGAUGGACCCGAAAUGGAGUCCGAGAUGGAGUCCGAGGUGGACCCGAGAUGGACCCGAGAUGGAGUCCGAGAUGGAGUCCGAGGUGGACCCGAGAUGGACCCGAAAUGGAGUCCGAGAUGGAGUCCGAGAUGGAGUCCGAGGUGGACCCGAGACGGACCCGAAAUGGAGUCCGAGAUGGACCCGAGAUGGAGUCCGAGAUGGACCCGAAAUGGAGUCCGAGAUGGACUCGAGAUGGAGUCUGAGAUGGACCCGAGAUGGAGUCCAAAGUCGAGACCGAGACCGGGACCGAGACCGAGACCGAGACCGAGACCGAGACCGAGACCGAGAUCGGGACCGAGAACGAGACCGAGGCCGAGGCCGAGGCCGAGGCCGAGACCGAGCCCGAGCCCGAGUCCGAGUCCGAGUCCGAGUCCGAGUCCGAGUCCGAGUCCGAGUCUGAGUCCAAGUUCGAGUUUGAGAGGGUGAAAGCCCAAAGCGUUCGUCUCCCAGACCCUGGGGGGUUUGGUGAGCUCCAAAAGUAUAGUAGGGGGAGGACUGCAAUGGAGCCAGUUUGGCCAGGAAAGGCCAGUUUGGCCCAGGAAGGCCAGACCCAGUGUUGGGUGAUGAGCUGCCCACUGGGAAGUCCAAGACUAGAGUGAACACAGACCGACAAGCGGGGUAGCUUGGUGAAGUGUUCAAGAGCCGGCUUUAGUUCCCCCGGGAGAUCGACUGGCCGAUGCUCCCAGUCCAAGUGUGGGUGGCACUACCUACUUGGAUACCUGGUGUGGCUCAACGGAACCCGCUCUAAGCCCAUGGCUAGAGCACCCAAGGGCAGAAGGCGAGGAGAGUACCCAGGUGGCUCGCGUAAGGCCACGGUGUUCCGAAAUGUUGUCCCAAAGGCCCAGACUGUGGAAAGGAAGAAGAGCAGUCCUCUGGGGUAGCGACCAAGGACACAGUCGUGUGGUGAGGAAGUCCCAAAGGACCGUGAGACUUAGUGGUCGGGCCUGUGGGUCUCGAUCCAGUGGCAGUGUUGGCAAACACGGCCAGGGGUAGAAAGGGACUUAGUGGGGACUGACAGAGGGAUAUUGGGGAAGGCUAUUCCCCUUGUCGGUGGGCAUCCUAAGGAUGCUAAGGAGUGGAUCUGAGAUGACCACUCACGGAUGGUUUGCCUAGUCUUGGAGAGCCAAGACGGUGAUGCAAGUGGUAUUGGACCACCAGUGUGGCAAAGGUGAUUGGGCAUGGCCUUAGCGUAACGGGCUGCUAUGUCGGUGGUACCUUUGAGUGUCGGUCAUGGGAUCGGACACGUGGAGCACUUGGACCAAGUGCAAGUGUUGAGUGGCAUGGAUGCCAUUCUCGGGGCUAGCAAGUCCCAAGUCCUGGAUUGGACUUAUGGAGGUUGUGAAUGAGACUCCUCCAAGUGGUCAGAGGUGUGGUUAAGUGACUAAAGUAGAAUGGAAAAUUUAGUCGCUUACAUUCAGCUGUAGACUCUGGUACAACUGGCUCAACAGUGGCAUGGGGUGGUUUCGAUGGCGUGUGAUCACACGCCAUUUCAGCUGGUGCCUCCGUUGGCAAAGUGGACAUGACCAAACAGGGAGCAGGGGCGGUGUAGGGAGGUUCCAAUGGCGCGUAGUCAGACGAUUGGGCACACGUUGAGUCCGUUGGAAAUGAGGAUACGACCGGCUCGGCGGCUGGGGCGGCCUCAUGCGGGUCCAAUGGUGCCUAGUCACCGUCAGUUGGAUACGUGGACAAGAUUGACUCAGUGGUAUGGGCAGCAUCAAGUGGAGCGUGGUCAGCUUGCUUGGCGUUGAUAUGGAUAGUAGCCUCCACCAGCUCUGAUGACUCUUGCAGGCAAGUAGAGUCCACUGGCGGAUCCAUAUGCAUGUCCAAAUAUCUCCCUUCGAUUGAGAUGGUAUCCUCCCUACUGGCUACUAAAAACAAACUCAUUAGCACAUUGAAUCGACUAUACUGUAUUUACCAUCAACUGCUAUUGAGGAACUAGGACCAAUAUCACUUGGGCACACUGCUGAUUCUGAAGGAUUGGACAUACGUUUCGACCCUUGCUUGGCACUAUCCUUCCUCGACACUAAAGGCUAGAGUUUGUAUCUUAAUUCAACUGAAUAAUCUCUACUUACCAUUUGCUCUGCAACCUACAUGGACAAUGUUAGAAAUGGUAAAAGGUUAGGAAUGGAUGUACUAUUAUUUACCUGAUGGUUUGUCUUGUAUGACCUUCCUCCGCUGCUCUUUAGCCACCUCAGGCUGGCCAUCGUUGUCAUCAUCGUCGUCGUCGUUAUUGUGAUCGUCACCAUUGUAAGGACCAUCCAAGUCCUCUUCGUCCUCCUCUUCUUCGUCCUCCUCUUCUUUGUCCUCCUCUUUGUCCUUCUGCUCUUCCUGCUCAUUAUCUUUCUCUGGCUCCUCAUCCCCCUCCUGCAUUUCUUCCAUAGGCUGCUUAGGCUGGAUGGCUUGUUCUUCCAGGACCAUCUUGGGAAAAUCAUCUGGCCGAGUCUUCAUCUCAAAAUACAAGACAUCCAUAGCCUGUUUUAGUGCGUGACCUAGGACCGUAUCCUCACCCGACUGUCUUAACAUGGUUUCUGCACGUUCUUGCACCCUUCGAAGACGACGAGAUGAGAAAAACGUGGCCCUGACUUGAAAAGCAUCCCUCAUCCAUUGUACCUCUCCAUUGAGAUUGGGGAAGGGGAGUCCGCCAUAGGAAUCUGAGUCAGGAGGUGGUGACUGGCUGCUUUCACUCAGCCCUUGAUUUGCAAUGAAUGGCAUGAGCACACACGCCAUAACCGCAAGGCAUUACCUAUCAUCUUUUCGUUGCCCUUCUUCCUUUUCGAAUCAAACGCCUCUGAUCCCGACGACUGUCCAAUGUGCUUUCGCUUUUUAUGACCACUGUCAGUUUGAGCUUGGCUGGUGCUUGCCUGUUUUGCCUUUGAAGAAGUGUCUCCUGCAAGGAAUGGCAUGAGACCAUACGCCAUUGCAAAUAUAAUUUGUACCUCCUUUUUUCCUAUUGCUUGUCUGUUUGUCCUUCUUCGACGCACCACCAGUGCACUUUUCAGUCCUCGUGUCUGAAUAUUCACAACGAUCUAUAAUCAAAAUGGCGUGAGGCCUUACGUGACCUUACCUUGUGCAGGUUGUGAGCUCGGCCCAACAUGGGUAUCUUCAACAGUAGCUGUUAACGCCGUUUCAGCAUCUGGGGGUGGCCACGCUCCUGCAUACAGAGCUUGUGAGAUAACAUAUAAACUUAAAGUGCAUACUUACCAGGUUCGCAGAGAAGAUACUGUUUUUCUUUGGCAACUGUAAUUAUUUGCUCCAUUGAAGUCACCUCUUGAAUGGAGUUUGUCACCGCAACACACGGGACACCCUUGAGUAGUGCGGCUCGAAAGAAUAGUCUGCCGCAGUUGUACUCGACAACGCAUUUGCCCUUGGAGUCGGAAGCAGGUGACCCACCCGCUAUUGCGUUGAAGACCCAGCUGAGCAUUUCCCAUGCUACACCUGGAGCUUUCUCUGGAUUCGAAAGCUCCAUAGCCGUCUUCAGUUCCUUAGGCACGGGUAAAUUGACCUCCCUCAGAUCAAUUCGAUCGGCCUUGUCGAACGAAGCUGGGAAGUCACUCCAGUCCCACUCUGCUACAGGACCAAUAACAAGGGCGAGUGUGAAGAUACAGACAUUCGUCGGUAUCUUCUUCUUAGCCAUUAUCCCAUGGAUCUCCCGCAUCUCCUUGCCUUUCAACCGAGCCUUCACCUCGUUCAAGGCCUUCCAGAACUUAUCAUAGGAUUCGGAGUUGUAGAUCAUAUAGUGGACUGAAGAUUCCACCUCCGCAAGUCCCACCAUUAAGUCAAUGAUGGAGUUGACUUCGUCUGCAUGAGUGAUCUCCUCGUUUGUGAAGUCCAUCACACAAAAGAUGUUCUUGACCUACUCAUCUCCGCGGGAAACGAUGCUCCUCCACCUUUGAUCCUCAUCCGAAUUCAUGUAUACCCGGUAAGGUUCUCGAUAGGCCUCUGCUGCGGGGUCGAGCUGUUUCUAAAGCCGGCGGUCGACAUCCCUCUUAAUGAAAUUUGGAUACUGAUCCAACUUCUUAGCUUUACUUUUCGUGGCAUCCCACAGCAGAUCGAUGAACUUGGGGGCCCCCUUCAUGUACUCGUUGAUGUCUUCAUUUGACAACUCCAGCUCUUCCAUCAUCUCUUGCGUGGUGUCGAUGCUCACCUCUCCACGGCCACUUGCUCGAAGAUCCAAUCCUUCAAUAGCGCACGAGCUCUCAGAGUCGUGCACAAGUCCUCGUAUGUCACAAUAUGGCCAGGAGUCAUUUUGGUCUUGUUGAAGACUACCUCACCACGUAGAAGAGCAUUAGCCACUGUCAGAAGGUCGUCGUCGUCUAGAGACCGCGAGAAACGCAAGGCAUUGAGCUUCAAAUCAUUGGGCUUCCGGCCGUCCUCCACACCCAUUGAGUUUAGCAACUCCCCGUCAUGGUACCUCCUCAGCACAUCUACCCAUUUGUCAAAAACAACUUUUGUCGCGAGUAGAAUGUUAUGGAUGCUAAGUGUGUCAUUGACCCCCAGUGUUUUCGAAAGAAGACUCGAGAAUUCCUGCAAUGGAAAUGGCGUGAGGCCACAUGCUAUGCCACAUGCAACGAGGCUUACCUGCCAGGCGCUAGUUGCUAGUGUACGUCCUUGUCCUAGUUUUUGUGGCUUCUUCAGUUGAACCCAGAGCUUCCAUGUUCGUGCCAAUGUCUCGUGCAGACCCGAUUUGUAGCACAUUUCUUGCUUGACAUUCUACGCGUGGGAGAUGUAUAUGAUAGAUCGGAGGGGCGAGUUGCCUUUUAUCAGGUGGACAACUCUUGUCUUGAAGACUUUCUUCACCUCCUCGCCCACCAUAAUAUCCACAACUAUCUCUUGCAUCGCCAAGCUAGAAUGCUACCCGGAGACGGCAUAGAACCGGAUGCUCUGAUCAUCCAACACCUUCCUAUUGAUCAAGUCUGGAAACCUCGUCUCGCCCUUCAUUGUUUGGUAGUAGGGGAUCACGUCUGCGAUGUCGGGUGUUACUGGACUUGCCAGCAUCUUCUGCUUCAGUUUCUCCACCCACUCAUCAGAUACUAGCCUGUGGUUGUAUUUGCUUUGGAUGUCGAUACGGCUCACGUCGAUUGUAUAUACUUUGUUGGAAUAGUAACAAGUACUAUUAUCUGUGACGAUUUUUGCUACCUCUUCUUGCUCUUUCUGCUCUUUGCGGCUCUUCUUUUUGGUGGGUGUAGUGUUCGAACCCGAGGCAAUGGCAUCACCGAGUAGCUUCUUUUUUGGAGCAGGAGAGUCGGACGUCGGCUUGAGAUUGACCACCCUUUUCUGCUUCGGGGUAGUUUCCAGAUCGACCCCCUUCCCCUUCGCUUCGCGAACUGGAGGCACUCUCAAUGGCUCAAUGUUGGAAUAUAGUUUUUGAACAUCACCGUAGGUGAGGUCCGUGGAUUCCAUGUGAUCUUCAUAGACCCGCAGCGUCUUUGAAAUUGUGGGCCUCCUGGACAACCUCUCCCUAGCUCCCUCUAGGAAUUCCUCAUAGCCGCUGCCCCCCUCCGGGAAGCCGCUAGGAUGUGCAAGGUGGAUCUUGAAGGCGGACACUGUCUCUACCACAAGUGCCAGUCCAUAUUCUUGCAUGGAACUGCAUGGAGUGUCUGUCACUUGGAUGAGGAUCCCCAUGCAUUCUUUUCUCCCACCAUCUGUGUUGUAUAGCUUCAGAUCCUCGCCUUCCAUCCCGAAAGUCCAACUGGUGAGCUCCUCCCCCUUCUCUGCAUCCACAUUGACAGUGGCUGGAAGAAGAACGCAAUUCCUCGCCUGUUCAGAAAUGCACAACAAUUAGAGUUGACAGAUGAAAAGCUAGGAGCUGGAAAUAACGUGAGUCCACACACCAUUCACCACUGCAUUAGAUGUCUUGAGGCUGCAUCCUAAGAUGGCGUGAGGCUACACGCCAUCUGUAACCGGACUGCACUCGAGAGCCCAAUCGGUGCAUGCCAAUGUUGCUACUAAAUGGCAUGUGGCCUCAUGCCAUUUUCUACUUGGCCUAAAAGACUUACCAUUUGAAGCCGAAUGGAGGCAUGACAAUCGAGGCCGGACUCACUGGCGAAUGUGCACUGUGUGUGCAGCGGAUCGUAGCAGCAAGGCUACUCUGCCACUUAUAGUUGGAGAGUGGCGCUAAAAUCUCCCGGGACGCCAAGUGGGCUGCGUGUGGGUGGCGGAGUGGGCGGCAGAGUUGGCAGCGAAGUUACAAACUGGAUGUGUCUUGAAGUGGACGCCGAUGCACACGAGCGCGAUGCGAGCGCGAGUGGACGCCGAUGCACACGAGAAACCUGUAGAGAAGGUAGAUGAGCGCGAAUGUGAGCGUGAUCGCGAGUGGGAGCGCGAUGCGAGCGCGAGUACGAAGCAAAAUGCAAAACCUAACCUCACACGCGCGAAAUGUCACGACGGUUGGUAAUCCCGCAACGUCAUCAUUCCUCGGACUUGGGCGCCACCAUUAAUUUCUGGAUCGCCGCGCGCAUGCAUGCACGUGAAAUCCAAAAGAAAUCCGCAACAUCAUCAUUCCUUGGACUGCAUGCACGCGAAAUCCAAAAGAAAGAUCAUGAUUGGGAUAUCAUUUAAUACCCUCGCUAUAUUUAUACCAUGCAUGAUUGGAUAUUCCAAAGCAUCUUGUAUUUCCAAAAAUGCCAGAUGUUCAGCUAAAUAAAGAAUGGUAUACAAUGUCCUUCUUGAUGACCCUGCAAAGAAGCAUCUCGAUCGGACACCACAUGAGACCACAUGAGCCUUACAAUGUUUCAGGGGCAUUUGCCAUAGAUCCGACUGUUAUUUUGCUCCAAGAUUCUACAGUUUGGUGUGCAUUGACCUUUCCAUCGACACUGCAAAGGGACAUCACAAUCAGAUGCGGGAUCACAAGAAACCAACUUCACUAACUCUGGUUUCACCAAGAUCUACGUAAGGAGUUAUGAAAUGAAAGGACCCUCUUUAUUGAAAUGUGUUUAUGGUCCUAGGGGCAUUGUGACAUAUCAAAGGAUUUUGCAUCAAGUUCUGUAUUUGCAUGUUUAUCAAGCUACUGAAUUGCUAAACCCUAAACCCUAAACCCUAAACAUGUGGCAAAUGCUGCGUGAAGAAAGAUGCCCUUUCUGGGCAAAUGCUGUAAGAGGCAGAUGCCGAGCAGAUGUAUCUCAAGCUAGCGAAGGGGACAAACGAAAGCUAGCUAUAAACAUGACGGGAUGCAAAUAGAUUACUAGGCUGGUCCUGCAAAAAUCAAAAACCAUAAUUGAAAACAUUGAAAAUGCAAAAAGAAAGGUUUAUAAUAUUUUUGAAUUUUAAGCAACCAAAGGAAUGUAAGUAGGGCAUGUGUUUGUAAGUUUAAAAAUGCCUCAACCACUUAAACUCCCAAGUAAAUAAAGCUGUUUCUAUUUUUGGUACAGGUAAACUUUAUAGCGUGUGGGCUCAUGCAAUUUUGAACCCAAAAAUGCACCAAAAAAUGCUCGACUAGCAUUAUUCUUUGAAUGGCAUGUGGCCUUAUAUUGCCAUAAAUGGACGUACACACACAGCAUAAUUAUUCCUUUACACGGCGAAUAAUCUUGGCGCGGAUCGCUGACAUGGCAUGGCAAAGUUCGAAUCACUGACAUGGCACAGCCGUACACACACAACAUAAUUAUUCCUUUACACGGCGAAUAAUCUUGGCACGGAUCGCUGACAUGGCAUGGCAAAGUUCGAAUCACUAACAUGGCACAGCUGGAUCGAGGCAAGGACAUGAUGUGACAAAGUUCAACGUCCGACAGCAAAGUCUAGAAGCUACUCAGUUUGAAAUUUGUCAGAGGAAUCAUAAGAUCUAGUUUGUCAGAGGAUUUGAUGUGACGUUCAAGCGUGUGUUAUUUUUGAAUUCUCGAACUCAUUCCUAGGUCUAUCAUUUUUGUGCGCCGUGUUCUUGGUUCCGCUGAGCGCAGUGAGCGCUGCUUGUGUAAGCGGCGUUGUGAGCUGUGGUUUAUGCGUCUACGAGCGGUUGCGGCAUUGCGAGCGCCAUUGCGAGCGGCAGUUUAUGCGAGUGGCAGUUUGUGCGAGCGGCGCUACGAGCAGUUGCGGUGUUGCGAGCGGCACUACGAGUAGUUGCGGUGUUGCGAGCGGCACUGUCUUUGGUGUGGCUACCGCUUCCUCUUGAUAUUCGGCACUUGUGCUUCCUGGUAUGUUCACCAUGGAAUGGCUUAGGACCACAUUUAGAAAUGGCAUGAGGCCACAUGCUAUCUUGGGCCCUUGCAAUUUCAUGGCUAGCGUAUUGUCAUGUAUGUUUUUACUUGCCUGCAGCUGUGUGUAUAUCAAGAUGGCAUGAGGGCUCAUGCCAAUUUUGUGAAUGCGAAAUUUCACGUGGGUGUCAAUAGCAUAUUUGAUUAAUGGCAUGUGGCCUCAUGCUAUUGAGGUUGUUUGGUAUGUUAUGAUUUAGGCCAUUCUCCAAUCAUUUUUUGUAUGGUCUUAACUUCUUUUCUGCACUUUCAGAAUGGCCUCCGCAAGUGCGACGCAUGUUCCCUCCGUGGAUCUUAAGAACCAUGCUUGGAUUCAGGCAAAGGUGUUUCUAAACAACCCCGAGGGGGAGGUGGUAGCUGAGGGCUUAGCCACAAUUGUCGAUCCAAGAGAUGCGGUUGCUAAUCAAAAAUUGGGCUGGGAUGAUAUUGGAGUUGCGAUUUUAGAGGUUGUUGACACAGAAGAAAACAGUCUGACUAUUGGAAGCAUUGUGCGGUGGAAAUUGAGGCACUUAGUGUUUGAGAAUGUGAAGGAUUCACAAUCAAACACCAUUACAACUUAUGACAGAACAUCUCUUCAUGGGAAAAGAAAGUACACGUUCCUAAAGUGCAGCCAAAGGGAUCUGAGCAACGAACCGAAAAGGCAGAAAAUGGCGAUGGAGGUUCGAAUGGUCUCGACAGUUGCUUGUUGCAAGAGGAGGUGCUGUCAACAUGCUGAUUGGGAUGCUAUUGAAGAGGAGAGAGCAAGAUACAAGACAUUGUCCUGGAAGGUAGCUCGCAAUUUUGUGUAUGAGGCAUUACGGUCAUCUGUUGAUGCUUCAGAACAUUAGGUGGGGGGCAUGGUCUUCCAGAGGGGUUUGGUCUGCAUGAAGGCAUGGAGAAUCAUUUAUGGAGUCCCUCGAACCACAUUCUAUAGAAUCAAAACUGAGUUCGAGGAACAAAGGGUUCAACAGGCAGUCCAUGGGAACGACGGUACUCACAAAACCAGGGGUCAUGUUGUAUAUGGAGAGGCAAUCUUCAAGAGGUUUGUCGAGACAUGUAGCGAGCAGCAACCAUAUAAAACCCGCCUCUUGGAAGAUGGAACUCAAGACACCCAACGAGUUCUCCCUUCCAUGUAUACCAAGGGGGCCAUAUUGGAAGAUGUGAAUCGGGAACUCCAGAGUAAUGGCUACAGGAAGCUGAGCCAAUCUAGAUUUAGUAGAUUGUGGAGCAACAGGUUCAGGGAUGUGAGUAUAGGAAAGUACUUCAGCUUUUCAAAGUGUUACGAGUGCACUGCUAUCAAAAUGGCUUUGUCGAAGAAUUCUUGCAGCGCUCAAGAGCGAGAGACGUUGGUUAGAAGGCGGCUCGACCACAACAUCGAGCAGAGAAGCUGCAGAACUGCAUAUUAUCAUAACAGGAUUCUCUCCAUGGAGAGACCUGACUCUUACCUCUGCAUCAUCCAUGACAAAAUGGACCAGAAAAAGACGUGUUUACCUUGACUCAAUCCUGCCCCCAAGGCAAUCUCUUCAUCCAUGCAGCUGCCUGUGUCUCUGUUUGGCAUAAUCGCUCAUGGGCAUGGUGCCCAGAACUAUGGGAACUUCUUUGUACCUCUAUGGGGUGGCGGGGGUGCAAACAUGAUGAUUGCGUCCCUAGCAAAACACUUAAGGUCUCUGCAAAGUGCGUAGACUGAGCUGAACGGCCAACCCUUGCAUAAGGCCCUUGUCGAUCGAACCCCAUACAGGGUUCAGCUGGAGGAGGAGCAAAGGCUUGCAGUAUCGCGUGGGGCCCCAUGCCAUCCCAGUGAAUAUGUUGGCCGUCAGAUUGUAGGGUUAUCACGUGAGGCCUCAUGCCAUUCCGACGAGGCUGGUUGCCCGGUGAAUGCACAGCCUCAUCCAAACGAAGCAGAAUCUCAAGGAAGUUCUUGCGGCCAAUGUGGCCUUCCACCCCAUCUUCUGCUCCAAACAGACAAUGCUGGCAGUGAGAACAAAAACAUGUACGUCUUCGCAUACUUGGCGAUGCUUGUUGCCAAAGGCAUAUUUGAAACGGUUACACUUGGCUUUCUCAUGGUUGGGCACACUCAUGAAGACGUCGAUGCCAUGUUCAGUCACCUAGCAGAGUCCCUCCGGCGAUCCAAUGUCCUCACCCUCCCACAACUCUACGAUGAAUUCCAAAAUUGCAUCAAAGGCACUGUUGAAGCUGCACUUGUGACAGAGGUUCCAAAAUUUAAGGGGUUUGUAAAAGGCUACAUCAGAGACGGAUCCGAAACGCUGAUUGGCCACUCCAAGCCUCUUCAGUUUCAUUUCAACAUGCGUGACGGUGCUCCAGUGAUGAGGUACAAGAUGAGAGAAUGUGACACAGUGUGGCUGCUAGUGGACGGCAUUGAACUCUUCAAGAGAGAUCCCAUAACUGGGGAACCUAUGAUUCCUCAGGGUUCCCCACGGCCGAUGCACCCGGAUGGACUCAAAGACCAGGAAAGUAUAGUGGCCGGGAUUAGACAGCAUAUUGCCUUCUGGAAGAGGGGGUUGGUGUUUGGUGGAGAAUUCUAUUUUCAGAGGUGCAAGCCUUUGCUCGAAUACUGGGAGAAGAUUAUAUCUGCUAUCCAAAAUGGGCCGGUUGUAUAUGAAGAAUUGGAAGAGUCCUUUUGGCCAGAACCCAGAGCACCAGAUAGUAGCGGAACAAUGUCCUCUGGAAAUGCAGUGACAGAUAAAGAUGUUGAGGAUCACUAUUGUGGGCCGAGGAACAAGAAGCCGGAUUCAGCAUUCAAUCCAGUACAGGUCUGCAAAGGAAUGGUCGUGCUUGUCAGACCCAGUAAUAAAAAACAAAUGAUAUGGGUGGGGCACUGCAUCACUGAUGUAGAGGAGGACGCGAAAACUAACUCCUUCAAUGUAACUAUGGAGUGGUUCAAGCCAAGUUCCGGAUAUACGAAGGAUUGCCUAGAAAAGAGAUGGGUGUUGAAUCCAAGGGAUCCCAGCAUGAGCAUAUCGGUGGAUAAUGUUGUGCAUGGUUGGAUGCGGAAGUAGAGUGCCACCAUCACCUUGCUAGACCAUACAAGAGAUGCAGCAAGAGCAUUCAUAACCCGGGUUCAAGGUGAGAUUCAUUAAUAUUCCUUUACUAAGUUUCUAAUGUAUUUUAUUUCAAGGUGAACAAUCCGAAUCUGAAUCAGAGGAGGCGUGAUGGCAUGUGGCCCUUUGCACUAGUAUAUCUUAAUACCGGUCUGAGAAAUAGAAUGGCAUGUGCCCUCAGGCCUUUUACUAAAUCACCUUUGAAAGAAAUGCAAGCCUCUAUGUCGUAAAAAAAAGGUACUAGAGAAAUUCCUUAAUAAUAUGAAUGUUAUUUAGUUUCAUGAAAAUACACUAAGGGUCAAAUGAGUUAAAUGACUUCUCCAGACUAGCAAUGCCUCUUGCUACACCUUCACAAUUAGAUUCGUUAGAAAAAGAUAACAUUGAAUAAUAUCUAAAUGUUCUCACCAUUAAGUUAUAUGUCUGGCUAAUAGGAAUGAUGUUCAUCUUGGAAAGCUCACCACACGCUCAAUGAACAAACAAAUAGUGUGUGCGCGCAUGCCAUCGCUCUUCUUUAGCUUCAGAUUCGUCUUGUUCACCUUGACAAUGAGAUUUAUUAUACAACCAGAUGGACUCAGUCUGGACACAAAGUCACCGCGCUAGUCACUAUGCCCCAGAUAUGUCUAGCCCCUGGACAAAAAACAUAUAAUUUCACAUCAUUUUCAAAUACUUGAAAAUUUGUCCCAAUUAAUCCCAUUUUACUGAAUAAAUCCCACUUUAACAAAAUAGAGCAUCAAUGAGGAUAUUGAUUUUCCUUAAGGGGGGAGAGUGUCAUAAAUGUGACUUUGGGUAUCGAAAGAUACUUAUCAGGCAAUCCUUACAAACACUCUCGCUUUACAAUGGUAGGAGGUCAGUAUUGUUAGUUCCCUUUAUUAGCCUCUUUUAGCAUCUAUACUUAGCUAGAUGAAUGUAAAGGAGGAACUUCUAUAUGUUUUUUGCUGAGCAUUCUCGGCUUGGCUUUUAGUUCUCUUUUACUUUGUCUUAUACUAGCUUGGCAAGAACCCUUGCAUAUUGAGUCUAGUCUCUUAAUAUUGCUAUAUGAUAGCUUAUUGUAUCCGCUAGACACCUUUGCUAUCAUGCCCCAUGUAUUAAUUUUAUACCAGAUCCAUAUGAUAUUUAUGGUAAGUGUCUAAAUCUGCUCAAGAAGCAUAUCUACAAAGUGUAGAGAGUGUUUUAAACCCCAUGGUGUUAUUUCCAUAUCCUAAUUCACAAUUUAGUGCUAUUUCAUAUUUAGUAAGUUUUCAUUAGUGUCCCAACUAGGGUGAAAACCUAAAUCAUGUGUUCCUCAAGGAAGGGUAGAGGGCAGCAGUGUAAUGCACGUGGUUUUCAUCUUUUAUUCUAUGAUGAUUUAUUAUAGGAUAACUAUGAAGUGGAACCUAGACCCUCAAUGUGCCAUGUGCCACGUGUUCAAAGGCAAUAGAGUAGAACUCAAGUUUUAGAGGUUUGGGUCACUGAAUGAAAAGACGGAGCCAAACUCCCAAACAUAAAACCUAGGAGUGAAGGAAGAAAAGCAUGGAAUGACUUUUGAGCGUACAGCCUAAGGAGUGAAGGGAUAGGGGCAUGAAGUGACUUGGAACAAUUUUAAAGCAUCUAACAUCCCAAUGCUAGGAUUAACAUUUUGUCACUAGCCAAUGCAAAACACAAUGAGACAAGAACUCCUUACCAAACUAAGUUUGCUUAGUUAAUAGCAUAUAGGAAUUUCUUCCUUAUGCUCAUCUAGUUUAAGUACAUAACUCCAUUAGCAUAAAAGGGACUAAUAAAGAAUCCAGUAAUAUCAACCUCUUGUUUUGUGAUAUAUAAUGCAUGUGCUUUUCACCCUUAGCCACCCUUAGUACUAAGAGUUAGUCUCUAGGACAAGCUUAAAACAUACCAAAUAUUCUAAAUAUUAAUAAUCCAAAUUAUUAAAUGCUAAAUAUUAAUAAUCCAAGACUCUACAUUGCGAAUUUAGAGAUCGGACCAACACCAUUGUGUUCAAGAUAAUCUCUACAUUUUGUAGAUAUACCAAAUUAGCAAGUCUAGACACUUUCCAUAAAUUGUAAUUGGGACUAGAUAGGACUAACAUAAAGGGGAUGAUAGCGAGGGUGUUUGGCAGACACGAUAAACUAUCAUCUAACAAUAUUAAGGGACUAAUCUCAAUAUGCAAGUUCUUAUCAUGCCAGUACAAGACAGAGCAGAAGAGAACUAAGAGCUAGGCCAAGUAUACUUAGUAAGAAACUGUAAGUGACUAAUUUUUCCAUUUUACUUUAGUCAUUUAAUCACACCUCCAACCACUUGAAAGAGGCUCACUCAGAACCUCCAUAAGUCUUAUUUUGGACUUAGGGACUUGCUAGCCCUGUGAAUGGCAUCUAUGCCAUUCAGCCUUUGCACUUGGUCCAAGUGCUCCACAUGUCCAAUCCCAUGACUGACACCCAAAGGUACCAUUGACAUAUCGGUCCAUUAUGUUAAAGCCAUGCCUAUUCACCUUUGUCACAUUAGUAAUCCAAGACCAUCUACAUCAUAAUCUUGUCUCUCAAACACUGGGCCAUCUAUCCAUGAGUGGUCAUCCCUUGACCACACCUUAGCACCCUUAGGAUGCCUCGAGACAUAAAAAACACCCUUACCCAAUGUCCCUUCUUCCAUCCCCACUAAAUCCCUCUCUAUCCACAGAUAUACUCGCCAACACUACCACCCCAAAGGCCUAACCAUUACAUCCCACUAACCUUUAGGAUUUCCUCACCAUGUGACCGUAUCCUUGGUCAUUAUAGCAGAGGAUUAUUCCUCUUCCUUUCCAUAGUUUGGGACUUUGAGAUGACAUUUUGAAACACUAUAGCCCUACACAAAUCUCAUGGGUACUCUCCCCACCUUUUGCCUUUAGGUAUCUUGUUUAUUUGUCUAUAUUCACUUUAGCCUUGGACUCCUCAAUAGAUAUAUCAUCACCCAACACGUGGAUAUAUGUAAGCUCUUGAAUUUGAACUUCCCGGGAGGUCAUCUAACCUAGUACUAUUCAAACCCAAGGACACUUUACCCCAAUUAUCCCAAGACCCUUAACCGAUUAGAAAAGGGGGUGCACUCUUGUUCAUGGGCCCUCGUGAGCAGAAGCUGAGAGUUGCAGCUCUCUCGAGAGCCCCGCUCUCUUGACACCCUACCUCUCGGGUCGAGCCCAGCGGAAGCAAACUGGACCUACUAGAUGUCAAUCAGCAUAUAGUGUGAUUCCCCUAGCCAACCAACAGAGUCGGACCCGAAACCUCUUUGAUACUAAAUGUAAGCUCCUGAAUUUGAACUUCCCGAGAGGUCACCCAACCCAGUACUAUUCAAACCCAAGGACGUUUAACCUCAAUAUCCCAAAACCCUUAACCGAUUGGAAAAGGGGGUGCACUCUUGUUCAUGGCCCUUGCCCUCUAUAUUUGAACCCCUAUGGAUCGUCUCUCAAGUCGUUCCCUUUGGUUGCUUAUAGUAUAACUUUCCUUGGUCACACUAGCCUUUUCUAGCUAAACUAACUCCACUAGAGUCCUCCCCCUACUAUACUUUUGAAGCUCACCAAACCCCCUAGGGUAUGGGAGGUGAACGCUUUGGGCUUUCACCCUCAGACUUAGACUUAGACUCAAACUCAGACUCGGUCUCAGUCUCUUUCUUGGCCUUGACCUCGGACUCUAUCUCAAGUCCAUCUCGGACUCGACAUCAGACUCCUGUAAGCUCCUAAGUUUGGACUUCUCGGGAGGUCACCCAGCCUAGUACUAUUCAAACCCGAGGACGCUUAACCCCAAAUAUCCCAAGACCCUUAACCGAUUGGAAAAGGAAGUGCACUCUUGUUCAUGGGCCCUUUCCCUCUAUAUUUAAACCCUAUGGACCGUCUCUCAAGUCGUUCUCUUUGGUUGCUUACAACUCCAUCUCGAACACUAUCUUGGGUCUAUCUUGGACUCCAUCUUGGGUCCAUCUCAGACUCUAUCUUGAGUCCAUCUCAAACUUCAUCUUGGGUCCAUCUCAAACUUGUUUGGACUAAAAGUUUUGACUUGGACAGUCAAGAGUGGGUGUGGAAUUCCUAAUGAAGUGCUUGAGGAAUGAGCAUGAAGCAAACAGUAAGUGAGUUUUUAGAAAAGGGACACAAGAAGACCAAUACAUAGCAUGUGGAAGUGUCGAGACAAAAUCUAAAAUGAAGUAUGAGAAGGAUUUUGAGAUGGACCUAAGAUGGAGUCCAAUAUAAACUUGUUAUGCUUGUUUGGCUGCCGCUUCAGCCAUUACCACGUGACACCCUUUCAGCUCCACUUUGGGGCUUAGGGAUUUGUGUCUCAUAGAAACACAUAGAAGUUCUUACCUUAUAUUCAUUUGACUAAGCUCAGUUUACUAAUACUUGAACAAAAGGGACUAAUAAAAGGUGUACUAAUAUUGAUCUUCUAUUGUCGUGGCAGUAAGGAAAGAAUAUCUGAAAGGACUAACCGAUAGGUAGUUUUUGAUACCCGCAGUCACAUUCACGACACUCUCCACCCCUUAGGGAAGAUCGACAUCCUCGUUAAUGCAUACUCUAGUCUAAAUCACUGCCAAGGAAACAACUUUAGAAAAAGUUUAUAGUAUUCACACUUUGUGAGAAAUGCACAAACUUAAAUGAGUUAGGGUAACCUUUUCAUUUAAUGCAAAUGUGCUACAACUCAGACACCUCCCAACCAUCGCUGAUAAGGAAAUGACCAACAAAGUUAGCCACCCUAGCUACUCUGGGUGUCACCUAGUUUACAAAAAUGUGAUAUACCCUUGCCUGCAAAGACAUAAAGAGAGAAGCUAAAGGCCCCAACCCUCAUGAGUAAAGAAACUAAAUCUAUUGGUAAAGUUUAGAUAGACUAUUGUAAAGGUAGUUAAAGUUGUUUACACUGUCACACUCUUUUAACAAAAUAAAAAAUAUUGACAAAGAGGUAGAUAAUGUGACCAGUUGAUAGUAACUACCCCAUGACUAAAGAUUUCACCAUGCAUACAAAAUGCCAAAGCUAAUCUACUUAUAUUGGCCCAAAGUCAAAGAUCAAUAAAUGGACAAUAUCAAAGUCAAAGACAAUGAUAUCUUAGAGAUUAAAUUAUCAGUGAAUAAAUCUUAGGUUAUAAUACAAAAGUAUUCCAAGUGAGUUACCAUAUGAUAAACUAGUAUUAUAGGAUAGGAACCAUCAAGAUCAUUAAAGGUUAAGGUUAUAGAAGUAACCAUCUAAUAAAAUUUAAUAGUAAAUAUAUCAUUAAAAAAAUGCAAUGAUAAAACUUAACUAUCAAAGAUUGUAGAUAGUAUGCCAAACAACUUAUGAAAGACAACUAAAAGAACAUAAAAUAUGAUCAAUUGCCAAAUAAAAUACUUGCAAAUGUAUCACGUGAAGGAAAUAAAAUUGAAUCUAUUAGAAGCAAUUGUAACAACAAUCAAUAGAACAGAAUAAAUAUUGCAAAGUAAAUAAACACUUAUUCAUGCCAACUAUCACACUAGCUAAUUUGAAUAGAUUCCAAUCAAUAAUACCAAGGAACCAGAGUUGCUCAAGCAAGUGUUAGUAACAUCCUAUUGAUAUUUUAAACCCAAAAGACCAAUCCAAAGCAAACCACAAAGAAUAUGUGAAAAACCAUAAUCCAUCAAAGAGAACAACUAACUAUAAAAAAAAAUCAUCAAUCAUUCUAUCAAUAAAGAGAUGCAUAAUCAUCAUCAAAGAAAUAAUCUACCAUUCUACAAAAUGGCAAAUCAUUCAAUACCAACAAUAAUCAAGAAAAACCUUUAACAAAGAUAAUCAAUUAUCCUAGAUGAUAGUUAAUCAUCACCAAUGAUUGUCAGAUGUAAAAUACUAACUUUAAUAUUAGCCUAAAAUGAAAUUAAUAAUAAAACUAAUGAGCCAAAUGCCUUCCCCAACAAUUUCUAAUAAAUAGACAAUGAACAUAAAACUCAAAGAACCAAAAGUUUUUAAAAGUUUAUAGCCAAGUCUUGCCUAAUAAUGAUCAUAAGUUUUAUAUAAACUAACAUUAGUGUCAAAAAGAAAUCACAGUACAACUCACAAUAUCCUCUUCAACACAUUCAAAAGUUAAACUUUAUAAUGCAAAAGCUAAUGAAAUGCAUAUCCACAUCAAUCCAAAAGCCAAACAUAAUGAAACUAUGCUCAACAAAUGAUCAUCAAAUUAUCCUUCAUGAAUUCAUCCUCUACAAUACGAUAUAACUCACUUCAUAACAAGCAUAAAAAGAAUUAUCAAUAAUUGAUAUAUCCUCAACUCAAAUUCAAUAAGGAACCAACAAUUUAAUAUCGAUCACUAACUCUUUCUUUGGUAAAGCUAAUAUAAUGCACAAUUAAAUCACUUUUCAAUGAAAAGCCAAAGCUCAACCCUUAUAAAACAAUCUCAUCUAGAACACAACUAACUCAAUUUGCUAUUUAUCUCGUUUGAAUGUCAAUAUAGUUGCUAAUUAGCAAAUGUAGAAUGUCAAUAACACAAAGCUAAAGCCAAAUUAUUAACAUUAUCACAUUGAUGCCUUGUUGUUAACAUUAUUGAUGUUGAGGUUUGUGUGAAAUGAGAUGUCUCUCUAUAGAAUUCAUAUUAAGUUUCAUUAGUCUCACUUCAAUGCCAUUAACACCAUAACAAAGCUAAAAAAAAGUAAGAGUCAAUCACCACUCAAACUCUUUAAUAACUAAACUAACCAAAGUCAAAAAUACCUUAGUCAAUAUCCAAGACUAAUUCUUCAAUAAUACUCAGUUAUAGAUAACAUAUUAUCAAGGAAUGAAUUACCAUAUCCAAGAUUUAAUAUAAUCCAACCCCACAAACUAAACACAACCAAAUAAUAUUGACAAAAAUGGAGUCAAUAUACCAACAUGGAAAAUCAUGAAAGCCCACGUGAUAAUCCUUUGCAACACUAUCCAAUAAAACAAGUUUAUCACUACUAAAUCAUCAUCAAGCAAAUCAAGUAUUACCAAUCCUUAUCAAAGUCUACAAACAAUCAUUAGUUACAAAGCAACUAAUAAUCAUUUGUCAACUUGCCUUUACAAGACCCAGACAUUAAACUUAUGUCAUCGUGUUAUAUAUUUGUCCAACAUGAAAGUAACACUCUAGGUACCAUAAAGGUUCAUAGACAAGCAUGGACUAAAUUUCCAACUCAACCACAAUAAGAUCAUUGACACGUUUAUCUAGUAGCUCUAAGCAUGCCUUGAAGAGGUUAGGUAUACAUGAUCAUCACUAAGUUGAAACUAAAGUAUAAACCAUAAGAUGGACUCAUAUGGUACAUAACCUCCUCACAGACAAAGCUAUAAUAUAGGUACCAAUACUUCAACUUCAAACAACUAAGUUGGAAUCAUUAACCUCAACCAAUGCCCAAGACUACCAAGACCAAGUUAGGAUCAGUAACAAUUCAUUACUCUCAUAGAGUAUAAUGAAAUGCAAAGUGCAAUCUACCACCAAACAUAAGGUUACAGAAGAAAGGCACAAAGGUCACCUUUCUAGAAAAGUGUAGUGACCACUGUUUUACACGAACUCCAAACUCUAUCCAACUCAAUGGUAUAGCCCCAAAAGUUAACAUCCCUUUUAAGUCACAUUAUACAAACUACCUACUAAGGUUUAAGCCAACCAAAGUCAACUCUAACCUUUUCAUUAGUUUGUAUUGGUUUUUGAAAACAAAAUGGUUUUUGAGCAAAAUAAUCAAUAAAUUAGCCAUUAGAAAGUCUAAGAAAAUUGUGGAAAAAUUUCCAACCUAAAUAAAGAAUGACUCUUAGUCUAAAAAUGCAAACUCUUAAAACUCAAUCAACUUCCUCUUAUCUACAACUUCACAUAAAUUCACCUUAAUAUAAAUUCUUAUGACUCAAUAGUAUGUGUAAACAUUGAACAUCAUGCCCAUUUUAUUUGACAUCGAACAUUGACAUCUGUAAAAUGUAAAAGGAACAUCCAAGACUCAAUUAUAAAGACCAUAUCUUUGGAUAUCCACAUUGCAUUAUCACUUUUCUUCAAUCAUUUUCAAACUUUAAUAUAAAGACAAAACACUAAAAAAAAAAUGACAUGGAAAAUCAAACUCUAAAGAAAGUUCUUCAUCACUCAACAUAACAAUGCCACCUCCACUAACAUAAGUGUUAACAAAGUUAAUACGUUAGCUACACAUCUUCUCCAUUUAAUAAUUUACUCCAAGUGCGAAUAGAUCAAGUAACAAGUUAUAGCAAAUGAAUGCUACAACCCUUUCUAACAAUUUAAUGGGCAAAUUCUCAAAAAACAAAGGUACCAAUUUAAGUUUAGCAUAAUGAAUCAUCAUUGAAAAUCUAAUUAAAUUUAUUACAAUGCUAUUACAUACAAAUAGAUUAGCUUCAUUAUCAACUACUUUAGGGUUGAUUAUCGUUUAACCAAACAACUUCGCAACACAUUGUUCACUAUCACAUAAAUAUGAUAUAAAAAUGAUAAUGACUUAACCAUAAAUUGAGUAACACCACAAGCAAUGCUUAUAUCACUACUACAAAGGUUUAUAUGAGUAUCAAGUGUCAACUCAAUUUGACAAAAUGCAAUAUAAAUGCCACACCCACAAAUAAAGAUUUCCAACACCUAACACCACUAACUUUUGUUCAUAAUACAGACAAACUCAUACCACUCUCUAUUCAACCAAACUCAAAGCUAAUUUAACACCAAGAUACUCAAAGAGCACUAGCAAAGUUCUAAAAGAAUUAAACAUUGUAACCAAGCCUUCAAUAGCAAACCUAAACAAAAUGGUUUAGCACUUUAUUGCUAUCCAUCCCACAACUUACCACUUGUAAGCCAACAUGUAUUAAGAUAGGGAUUCUUGAUUGCAUGAUGUGAACAUAAGCAAUGAGUUAAUGUCUCAUUGUAAAUCAUACAAUGAGCUAACACCUCAUUGUAAAUCAUAUCUCCAAGAAGAAAAAGUGAUUUAUGUAUUUGAUCUUUCGUCCUUGAUAACUUUUUUUUAAGCUUCAUCUUGAUUAAACCUCAAACUUGCAUUUGCACUAUAUUCAGUCCAAUCUAAGAAUAGUUUAUAAAAGAGCACGACAAUGAUUACUUGAACCAAAAGAUUAAUCCCUACAGUCUUGAUUGAUCUACUUAUAAUCAUGCCUAGGAAGAAUCCAUUAAUGCCAUGCUAAACAACUAUGGAUUAGUCUAUUUACCACUCAUAACAAACCCAAGAGAGGUUUACUUUUUCUCACAGUAACAUGGAACAACUUGUAGAACCACUGGAACAACUCAUGGAAUCACCAAUAAGCUAAUAUUAAUCUUGCCAACUUAAAGUGCAACUUUGAGUUGUUAAUGUGCCUCACUCAUGAGCCCAAGCACAAACUUGUGCAAAAGGUACACCUCAAAUCCAUCCUAUAAGCCCAAGUGCAAGUUCAUACAAUCUAGUCUGAAAAAGUAACUAAAGUCCAUACCCAAGGAAUAAAUGCGAAGUUUUAGCACCCAAAUGUAUACCCACUUGGAUUAUCGUUUUCAUCUUUGUAUAUAUAACGAGAUUAGUUGCCCAAUCUCAUUGGAUAGUACUUGCUAAGACUUAUCCUUUGAUACCAAAUAUAGCUCAUGUGAUUUUCACCCUUAGCCACCCUUAGUAUAGGAUAAGCUUGAAAAUUACUAAAUAUAGAAUGACUCUAGAUUGCGAAUUUGGAAAUAGGACUAACACCAUUAUGUUCAAGAGAAUCUCUAUAUUUUGUAAAUAUACCAAAUUACCAAAUCUAGAGACUUUCCAUAAAUAGUAAUUGGGACUGAAUAGGAUUAACACAAAAGGCACGAUAGCAAGGGUGUUUGGCAGACACAAUAAAUUAUCAUCUGGUAAUAUUGAGAGACUAGUCUCAAUACAUAAGGAUUCUUAUCAAGUCAGUGCAAGAUAGAGCACAAGAGAACUAAGAGCUAGGCCAAGUAUGCUUAGUAAGAAAUACAUAGGAGUUCCUACCUUAUAUUUAUCUAGCUAAAUAUAAAUGCUAAGCCUAGUUUAUUAACACUUGAAUAAGAGGGAUUGAUAAAGGGUUUAGCAAUACCAACCUCCUACCAUCGUGAUAGUAAGGAAAUAAUUGUAAGCUCAUGAAUUUGGACUUCUCAGGAGGUCACCCAACCCAGUACUAUUCAAACCCAAAGACGCUUAACCCGAAGUAUCCCAAAACCCUUAACUGAUUAAAAAAGGGGGUGCACUCUUGUUCAUAAGCCCUUUCCCUCUAUAUUUGAACCCUAUGGAUUGUCUCUCAAGUCGUUCCCUUUGGUUGCUUAUAAUCCACCACACUUCUCUGCAAGUUCACGCCCUCGUGAACGGAAGCUGAGAGUCGCAACUCCCCUGAGAGCCCAGCUCUCCUAACACCCUACCCCUCGGGUCGAGCCCAGCAGGAGCAAACUGGACCUGCCAGAUGUCAAUUAACAUGUGAUGCAAUUCCCCUACCCAACCAACAGAGUCGGACUCGAGACCUCUCUGAUACCAAAUGUAAGCUUUUGAGUUUGGACUUCCCGAAAGGUCACCCAACCCAGUACUAUUUAAACCCACUACAAAUAUCCCAAGACCCUUAACCGAUUGGAAAACGGAGUGCACUCUUAUUCAUGGGCCCUUUCCCUUUAUAUUUGAACUCCAUGGAUCAUUUCUCAAGUCGUUCUCUUUGGUUGCUUACAAUUUGCCACACUUCCCUGCAAGUUCACGCCCUCGUGAACGGAAGCUGAGAGCUGCAGCUCUCCUGAGAGCCCCGCUCUCUUGACACCCUACCCCUCAGGUCGAGCCCAGCAGGAGCAAAUUGGACCUGCCAGAUGUCAAUCAAGUUGUGGUGCGAUUCCCUUAGCCAACCAACAGAGUCAGACCCGAGACCCCUCUGAUACCAAAUGUAAGCUCCUGAAUUUGGACUUCCCGAAAGGUUACCCAACCCAAUACUAUUCAAACCCAAGGACACUUAACCCCAAGUAUCCCAAGACCCUUAACCGAUUAGAAAAAGGGGUGCACUCUUGUUCAUAAGCCCUUUCCCUCUAUAUUUGAACCCUAUAAAUCGUCUCUCGAGUCGUUCCCUUUGGUUGCUUACAAUAAUAUUUGAAAGGACUAGCCGAUAGGUAAUUUUUGCUACCAACAAUCAUAUUCGCAAAAUGGUAAUAAGGAAAGAAUAUCCAAAAAGACUUACUAACAAAUAACUUUUAAUACCCUCAAUCAUAUUUGCAACAAGUAUUUAAAGUGAGACUUGGACAUAUGGAGGACUUGAAUAAAGUGUAAAGUCAAUAUGGCUCUAAAGCCACCUUUAUGGUUGUGGUAAAUAACCCAAGUUGAGAUAAGGACCUAUAGAGGUUAUGAAUAAGACUCCUCCAAGUGGUUAAAAAUGUAUUAAUUGACUAAAGUAGAAUGAAAAAUUUAAUCAAUUACAAAGUGUAGUUGCUAAACACUCAAACCAGAUUUUAACCUAUAAUUUUGAACUAAAACAUAAGACUUUGAGAGCCACUAUAAUCCAUAAAAUACCAUUGUAGCAAAUGAUACAUUCUAUCUCUAUAUCUGUCUAAAUCUCCUAGACUUGCAUUAACUUAAACUCAUAACUUUCAUCCUUCUCUACCACUACACAUGGGAGGUUAUAUUCAUUUUUUUCAUGCUUUACAUUCUCCUUAUCCUCUUUUGAAUGAAAAAAAGUUUUGAAGCAUAGACUCUAUUUGAACUUACUAUGCCUAUCUUCACUCUGUUAUUUAGUUUGGCUUCACUACAUUAAUGUAGCGCAUAUGAUCAUGGGAUGAGAUUUGAAUAUAUUAUCACUAUGGAUCCUUGGAACCUUGGGGGAUAAAUGGGGAUAAAAUAGCCACUAAAGGCUUUCUCAUCAAGCAAUUGCUUCAUUUUCAAUUGGUUUAAGGGGAGGGAGAUAGAGUGUACUAUAUGUGGUAUCAGAGCAAAUGACAUAAGUUCGAUUCCCAUUGAUUAAUGACUACUUAAAAUAUAAUAUACCCUUGAGCAAGGUAUAUUCCUACCCCUAAAUUUAAAAUUGUAUUGUGAGUGCUUGAAAUAUAGAAAGGGAAUACAGAAAAUGUGCAUAUCAAUUAGCCCAAAAACCCUAGCUUAUAUACAAUCUAGAUUGAAACCAAUCUAAUGGCAACCAAAAUCCCACUACGCUAAUAUUAGUAUAUGCCAUUAUAGCCGUACACUUGGCCCUCACAUCAUCCCCUCCUCUCGGAAUAAUGGAAGACCAUCAGGGUUCUCUUGUAAACGGGCCAGCAUCUAGAGGAACGUCAGGAGGAGGCAUUAGCAAAUCUGUUCAAACGUUGCACAUACACAAUCUAUAGAGGAUUAGCCUACUGGAUGUCAUGCCGAACCUCACAAACUUGUGGUCUAACUUGCCGCAACACCCAAUACAAUCCUUUCCACUACGUAAAGAGCCCGUUAGAUAAACCACAUACUAUAAGAUGGAAAAAACAGACUUUAUCCACUUUAUACUUUGCAGGUGGAUGAUGAUGGGAGUUGUAGCAUUGUUAUUGUCCCACUUGUAUGUAUCCUAAGUGUUCGGCAAACUCUACUCAAACAAGUGGAAAAAUGCUCGUCAAAUAUUGAUCCCACAACCUAGCAUCAGUAGCUCGUGGCAAUCGUGAGGUAAACUCAGCUCCGUUGAUAAUAUUGGAUCAUGACUAUAUAGGAGCUUAUAUAAUGAUGCACCAAUAGAACUUUGCACCCCUGUGACAUAUGCAUACCGAAGAGACGGCAAAUAACCAUCCCAAUCCGAAUGUUAAAAAUUCACAUACUUCACAAUCAUCCCUUUGAAUGUCCGAACGAGCCGUUCCACCAGAUUGUCUGAUUGUGGAUGAUAAGCACUUAUGAAAGUGUAGUGUAUCCCCAACCGAGAUGUCAAAACAUAAAAUGCCUCAACCAUAAAUGCGGGACCAUUAUCCAAAAGAAUCCGCUCUGAACAAGAAUGCUGGAACACCACUCGAUUGAGGAGGAAGUAUCCAACAACAGUUGUAGAGGUGCUAGCAAGAGCACCAACUUCCACCUGACAAGUUAAGUAGUCAAAGGUAAUAAUAAUAUACUCAUUGCCAGCAGUCGAUCGUAGAAAAAGUCCCAUAAGAUCAAAUGCCACCAACUCAAACGGACAAGAAGUUGCAAUUGAUUCCAACCGUCCUUCCACAACACGAGGGGUAGUAUUAUGAGUUUGGCACCAAACACAGCUACACACAUAUUGGAUAAUAUCACCUUGCAUCUCCGGCCAAUAGAAAGACCUGCGUAACUUCUCAAUUACACGACAAUGUUCCAUAUGCCCACCUAGAAUAGAAGAAUUAUGGUAGGCAUGAAGAAACCACGGAAUAAAGACAAAAGGCACCACCAGCUGUAAAUGAUCAUCAAAAUUCGUCCCCACAAAAUAAAGAAGGUUGUCUUCAAGGCGAUAUUGAGAAUGUAAAUGCCGGAAAGGCAAGUUAUCAACAAGUGAUACAGGAUUCUCAAACCCAUCUCGAAGCCUUCGAAUCCACAGCUCAAUCUUUUGAGCCAUGCAAACCUCAUCAAAAGAAGGUAGAUCUUGUUCCGCGCCUUGUGGACACUGAACGUCAAGUGUAGCAACUACCGAUAACAUACAAUCCUCGUCUAGAAAAUCCACAGAUGCUGGAACAAUAUGCUCAUCAGAAACAUGAAAAGAGAGUGGAGAAGGAGGGGUCACUGAUUUAUUCGCGCAAGGUCCCUCCAUUACUCGUGCGACUCUUCGUUUCUUGGAUGCAUCUCGGUGUCCAAACCUUCCACUACAACAGCACUAACGAGACGUUACUAACACCAAGGUCUCUAGCCAGGAAAUGGAGGUCACCAAUCUAGAAAAUGCCGACAACACCAAUAAGUGUGACCAACUUCAUCACACGCCCAGCAGCAAACAUCAUGGCUAUGGCCAUGACCACGUCCUCGCCCUUGUCCUUGGACUGAAGCAGCAACAGCAUCAACCUCCAUUGGAACAGGACCAUCACCUAUAGGAAGUGGAGCUAAAGGACGUGCAGCAAGAAGUGGAAGAGGCAAUGUCUCAUAAUGUUGUGCCAAGCAAAGAGUAUCAUCAAGGAUGGCAGGAGCAAGUGCAUGCACAAGUCCGACAAGAUCUUAAAGAAGUGUUAGCCACAACAUUCCUAGCUUGAUGCGCUCUGACAUAUUUAGCUCAGCACAAAGCAAAAGACUUCGGAAAUGAACGCCAAAUUGCACCACCGACUCAGAUGGCCCUUGGCGAAGAAGAUGCAAUUGUUGGAAGGCAUCAUCAUAGUCAUUGGCACGUCCGAAAGCGUGUUUGAAGACGUCCGGGAGAACACUUUAAUCCCCACGAGUGGCUGCACUCAAACCAUUGUACCAUUGCAAUGCUGUCCCUUGAAGACACGUGGGAAACUCAUGCAAAUGUCGAGUAUCAUCCCAAAAAUGAUAUGUGGCAAUCACCGUGAAGUGAUCGAACCAAUGGUACACAUCAUCCCGAGGAUUCCCACAAAAGAACUCCUGCCAAACGCGAGGAUUGGCACCAAGAGCAAGAGGAGUUGUACCACGUGCCGUGAACACCGCCAUCAACUGAAUUUGAUUGUUCAAUUGCAAACAUAUAGCAUCAAGCAAUUGUACCAACUACUACUCCAGAGUCAAAGGAGGAGAUUGUUGAUCUGCUAUGAAGAAGAAUGAAAAAAGAGCAAAAAAAGAGAAAUAACAAAAAGCUAGAAGGAAAUAAUAAAUCUAGACAAUGCAAAAAGUUAUAUUUAAACCAAAAUCCUAAAAGGAAAGAAUAAAAGAAAAGAAAUGGAAAAAGCUAGAUCUAAACCAAAAUCCCAAAUCCAAGCACUCCUCAGGGACAAUCAAAAGUGCCCUUUACCUCCACUAAUGUGAGUGCUUGGAAUAUAGAAAGGGAAUAUAGAAAAUGUGCAUAUUAAUUAACCCAAAAACCAUAGCUUAUAUACAAGAGCAAGUGGUUCAGAUUGAAACCAAUCCGACGGCUACCAAAAUCCCACUACAUUAAUAUUAAUAAACGGCAUUAUAACCAUACAUUUGGCCCUCAUAGUAUGUAUUGGGCAUCUAUGUGUACGUUCUUCCUUUUGGUGGAGCAUAUAUGGAUGGAGCAAAUAGCACGAGUUUGAUUCCAUUAGUAGCUACUUAAAAUAUAAUAUACCCUUGAGCAAGGUAUAUUCCUACCCCUAAAUUUGAAAUCAUACGUAUUGGAUGCAUAUGUCCUUCCUCUUGGUGGAGCAUACACGGAUGAAGGCAUGAUUAGUUGCCUCACAUGGAAUAAAAUGAAAUAACCAUUUAAAAAGGGAUAAAAUGUGUGUAAAACUUAGAUAACAAAAUACCUUCUAUUAUAAAAGACUCUAUCUAAACAAAAAGGUGAAUAACAAAAGAUAUCUUGUUAUAAACUACAACAUAAAUAAGAGACUCACACUACUCAACUUCCUUAAACACACAAUUUGAUACUUAAUAAAAUCAAUAGAAUAGAAAAACUCCUCAAUAAAAUCACCAUUGCCGCUACCUCUUGAACCAUCACUUUAAGAAGAUUUUCCUCCCACCACCAAUAACAAUAACUCUGAAAUCUCAAAACGAGGUACUUCACUUCAGAAUUUUAAUAAACUGGAUACUCAAACAGUAAUGGCUUGAGAUGAGACAAAGUUCACUACCAAGACACUCGUUUUUUUUUUUUUAAACCAUUCUGCAUUACUAUGCAUUCAGGAACCAACAACUUUUUAGGUGAAGCAUUUUGGGGACCAUAACAUUUUCAUUGGUGAGGAUGAGUAUCAUGCUUGGCUGGAGAACAGUCCCUAGAUGCUUGUUCAACCAUGAGGUUUUGAGCAAGGCAUUAAUUAUAGGGUAAGUGGGUACACAAGCUAAAUACAAGGAGAAAAGUGAGAUUAAUUGAUAGAAGGUAAGAUUAUUUGCAAAAGAUUACAAACAAUGAGUUGGAAUUGAUUAUAAUGAGAUAUUUCACCAAUAGUUAAAAUGGUUUCUUUCCACUUUGUUCUUGCAACUGCUAAUCAUUUGGAUCUUGAGGUUGAGCAGAUGGAUGUUAAAAAUACAUUCCUCAAUAGCAAGCUAGAGGAACUAGUAUAUAUGUGUCAACCUUCAAUCCAAGGAAAAGAGUGUUAUAUUUGCAAAGUCCAUCAAUCUAUUUAACAAUCACCAAGAAUUGGAAUUUAUAUUAUUGUUUUUCAGAUGAUUCUUGUGUGUGUUUAUGUCAACAAUCUUAUCAUGGUUGGAAAGACAACAAGUCUAUAUUGGCUUAAAGAACAGCUUUCCAACAGCUUUGAAUGACCUUCUGUUAGGCUUGUAAAUAAUGCGUGAUAGGGAAAGUUGAGUUCUAAAGAGUCAUCAACAUAAGUAAAAUCAGGAAAUACAGUUAUUUUUUCACUACAUGACCAGCUCUGACUCCAGUACUACAAUUCAUCAAACUCUCCAGAGCCAAUCAACCAUGUUCCUCCCAAGGGGGAGAGGAAAGAGAUGGCUAUGCUACCAUAUCAAAAUAUGGUUGGAGCAUUGAUGCAUUUAGCCACAUCAAGCAGAUUGAACAUAGUUUCCAGAGUGUCCCAGUUCAUGCAGAAUCCUGGGAAGAGACAUUGGUAUGCAGUGGUAAAUAUGUAAGUCAAACUUACAAGAGAAAUUGGAUUGGGCAUAUUUAUGCCGUACGGAAUGGUAGAUGCUAACCUCGCUGAUGAUCUAGAUGGUCGGAGACAACAGCUGGGUAUAAGUUUAAAUUUUCUAAUGCAGUUGUAUCAUGGCACAGCCAGAAAUAGAGAAUGGUGGCAUUGUCCACUUGUGAAGCAGUUGUUACAGAAGCUGUCAAGGAAGCUUUAUGGAUUCGAUACUUGUUCUAGGACAUCAGUUUAGCUGCAAGCAACACUAAACGUUUACAACAAUAACACAGCGUAUCUUCAAUCUAUCACGAACCAGUGCGUCAUGGGAGAAAUAAACAUUUCAAGAUGUUCUACUACUUUAUCAGGGAGAGGAUUGAGAGAGAAGAGGUCAAGCUGAAAUACAUCUCCAUGACAUGACAGCGGAUUUGCUCAUGGAGCGUCUGUGACAACAACUCGGACUGAUCUCACAGGGGGAGUAGCAAUCUGAUAAGAGACAUCAGAUUGAGGGGGAGUGUUGGAGCAAACAGCAGCAGAUCAAGGAGAGAUCAAGGCACAAUCUAAGGAAACCAGAAUGUGUAUGUAAACCAGGUGAGGGUUGCAUCAAUACACAAGUAGCUUUUUCCCAUUUAUGCUGUGUCCAUCAGGCCAUCUGGGAUGGGCAUUGCUAGCUCAGGAGCAUUACCGUCUCAUGCUCAGUGGGAGCCCUGGUCUACAACAAUGCAUGGACUUGGAGGUCAUACAUGUCCACCCAUGGGUGUUGCGGCUCUCAUUUUUUAAAACUGCUCAUAUAGAGUUGCAUAGGCACUAUUAGCUCCAACUUGGAGUGCUGCCCAUGUAUGUCCUUUUGAUAUGUAAAUCAAGUGUAUGACAUGCUUUUUCUAUGAGAAAGUAACAGCCACUGCGGAACAUGGAUCAGUCCUAGCUUGGACUAUUUGCCCACCAGGUGGCACAAAAGCUAGAAGGCCUUCGGACGUUUUCAUGAACUGUGAACCACAUCCUAACUCAAGGUGUCAGCCGAGUACUAUAAUCAAGCAAGCUUGCAUUGGCUCCUAGGCCUCUCUCACCUGGAGAUGCCUCACACGACAGUAUGAAACCCUUCCAUUCUCUCAUGCUGGGACACCACUAACUCGAGUAACUAAGAGAUGCCAACUUCUCUGAUCACGAGUUACACAAAGAUUCCAACAGAUCUAAGAGCCUAGUUUUGAUUGUGCAAAUCCAAAACCCUAGGCCAGGAUCACAAUUCCCCAACACACCACGAACGGUAUGCCAUCCAUGCUCCACAAGCUGCAAGCUCCGUGUGGUUGAUGUCCCUAUACACACUUUUUCUCUUGCUCUUUUACACUCACAUUCCCUUUCAAUCCACACAUAAACCAUUUCACGCAUCACACGUCCAAGUUCCUCAACUAACUGGUUCCUGUGCUCUUGAUGGCCAAGAAACCGGCAAGGCCUAGGAUACCCGGCCAUAGAAAUGUGAGUGGAAGUGGACCCGUACGUCUGUUCUGUUCCAAAGACUUUGUAGAGUUUACAAAGCCGCGUAAAGGAUGAAACCCUAAACCCUUGGUCAUGGAUGAGCCGAGCCCUACGAUCAUCACGAUUCCUCAGCACGCUCGCCAAUCCAAGCGUGGACGCGCUCAUCGAUCGCCUGGAGCAGGGCAGCAUCGAUCCAAGCUACAACACCCUCGCCGGGCUCCUGGGAUCUUGCGCAAAUCCCUCGCAGGUCAAUCGCCUCCACCGCAUUGCCACCAAAGAUCGUCAUGGGAUCAAUCCCUUCCUUGGAAAUCAGCUCCUCCAGAUCUACGUCAAGAUGGGCAACGUCGAUUCCGCCGCUCGGAUCUUCCCCUCCCCUGCCGCCUGGAGCGUCGUCUCGUGGACUUGCCUCGUCGCAGCAUUUGCCCGCCAUGGGCAGUUUUCCAGAGCAAAUGCCCUCUUUCGCGAAAUGCUGCUCCACGGCGCUACGCCGGACAAGAUCGCGCUCCUGGCUGUGAUCCAGCUCCUCCAGCACCCCCGCGAUCUUGAAUUCGCGAGAACGCUCCAGGGAUGGAUCCACGAGGCCGGGCUCUCGACCGAUCUCGUCCUGGGCAACGCGCUCAUCGCCGGAUACUCACGGUGCCAGAGCCUGAUCGAUGCGACGCGGGCGUUCCAUCGAAUCGCCCGCAAGGACACGAUCUCCUGGAACUCGAUCAUCGCCGCGCACGUCUCCUCGCAGCUCUUGCCCGUCGCCACGACGAUCUUCCACACGAUGCAGCACGAAUCCAGCUCCAGGCCCGACGCCGGCACUCUCAUGACGAUCAUCGCGACGUUCGUGGCUCCGGUGGAUCUUCCCCGCCUCGAGCGAUUCCACCGCGUCAUGAUCCACGACGAGCUCUUGCGAUCGGACACCAUCCUCGCCACCGCGCUCCUCACAGCCUAUGCCAGGAGCUGUGGCAGCCUCGCCGGCGCUCGCGAUGUCUUCCGCAAGAUCGAUCGCUUGGAUCUCGUCUCGAUCAAUUCCAUGAUCGCGGCAUUCGCUCACCACCACCGCCCGCGCGAGGCGAUCGAGCUCUUCCACCGGAUCUCCCCGGAGCUGGGCGUGCCCCCGGACAAGGUCAGCUUCCUCAACACGCUGGGAUCCAUCGCGAGCGCUGAGCAGCCCCAGCUCCUGGGCGAUGGAUUCAUCCUCCACACCAUCGCGAGAUCCUCCGGCCAUGGAUCCGACCUCGCCAUCGCCACCGCGCUGGUGGACAUGUACGCCAAGUGUGGCGAUCUCGCCGCCGCUCGAGCGGUCUUCGAUUCCAUCCAGCUCCAUCGCCGGGAUCUCAUCGCCUGGAACGCGAUGCUCUCGGGCUACUCUCGCGCGGAGCGAUUCGCCGAGACGAUGGAGAUCUUCCAUGCGAUGAGGGCCGCGAUCUGCGACGAGCUCCUGCCGACGAGGGUCUCGAUCGCUGCCGCGCUCACUGCUUGCGCGAAUCUGCUCGAUCUGGAGUCCGGGGUGGAGAUCCACGCGCUGGCAGCGCGAUCCGGGGUGGAGGCCGAUGUGGGCGGUCUCUUGAUCCACAUGUACGCCGCCUGUGGAGAUCUGGAUGCUGCCAAUCGGGUCUUCGAUGUCGCCAUGGGCGGAGCUUCGAUCAAUCGCGACUUGAGCUCCUGGAACUCGAUGAUCACGGCCUAUACCGAUAGGAAUCUCUGGGAGGAAGCGCUCUCUCUCGUCCACCAGAUGCACCACCAGGGCAUGGCCUUCGACGACAUAAGCUUCGUGACCGCUCUCAACGCCUGUGCCGCCGCGGGAUACCGUGGGAUACCGCACGGUACAUCCGUACACCUCUGCGUCGCCGAGGCCGGGCGGGAAGAGGACGUGAUCAUCCGCACGGCGCUGCUCAACAUGUACGGCAAGUGCCGCGACCUGUGCCGCGCGGACGCCGUGUUUGACGCGCUGCGGCGCUCCGGCCAGAGGCUGGAUCUCAUCGCGUGGAACGCGAUGGGAUCGGCUCUGGCCCAGCACGAGGAAUUCGAGCGCGUUCUCACGCUCUACGGGGAAAUGCUACUCGAGGGCGUGACGCCGGAUGAGAUCUCGUUCGUGAACGCCCUUACCGCCGCCGCCACUGCUGGUCGCGAGACGUUGGCGGCGGUGCACAGCCACGUCGUGCAGCGCGGCAUGAACCGCGACGUCGUGGUGGCUACCGUACUCGUGGCGGCGUACGGCAGUGCCGCGGAGGUGCGCCGCGCGGAGGAGUCCUUCGCGGCGGUACCGCCGUACCGCCGCGACGUCGUGCUGUGGAACGCCAUGAUUAAUGCCUAUGGCGGCACGCCGCCGGCUCUCCGUACGUACGACUCCAUGGACAUCGCGCCGGACAAGCUUACCCUAGUUCUUGCGCUCAAUGCGUGCGCGGGCAUGGCGGAGCUUGCCGCCGGAGAGAGAAUCCACCGCAGGGCGAUCGAUCUCGGCUUCGAUCGCGACGUCGGCGUGAUCACAGCACUGAUCCACAUGUACGCGAGCUGCGGCCGGCUGGAGCAAUCGCAGGAGAUCUUCCACGGCGCUCAAGAACACACGAUGUUCAUGUGGAACGCGCUGGUGUCUGGAUUCGCGCGGCGCGGCCAGUCGGAGCGAGCGAUCGCGCUGUUCGAGCGGAUGCAGCAGAGCGGGCACCGCGCGGACGCGAUCGGCUUCGUGAGCAUCCUCAGCGCUUGCAGCCAGGCGGGAUUGAUCGGUCGCGGGUGUGGAUAUUUCGCGUCGCUGCUCCACGAUCACGGGAUCUUGCCCUACCGCGAGCACUACGCUUGCAUGAUCGAUCUCUUUGGGCGGGCGGGCCGGCUGGAGGAGGCGGAGGAGUGGCUGCGCAAGAUGCCGGCGCACAAGCUGAGCAAGAGCGUGUGGGAGACGCUGCUCGGGGCGUGCUCGAUCCACAGCGAUGUCAAGCGCGGGCGGCGAGCGGCCGAGGAGCUCUUUGAGAUGCAGUCCAGGAAAUCGUCGCCCUACGUGAUCAUGGCCAAGCUCGCGAUGCUUUCGUCGAAUCGGGGCGAGUCGUGAGCUCGGACGGAUCGAAUCGUGAGCUCGGAUCGAUCGAUCGAUCGAUGGAAAUUUGGUCUUGGGGAGGGAGCAUAUUCUCGGAUCUAACAACGCUCGGAAAUCGUGGCGGCAUUUCCAUCGUCCGAUGGGAAUUUGGAUCCAAGAACUCUCGCGCGCUGCUAACGCGAUUUUAGGGUUUAUCGGAAUGAAGCGCUUGGCGCCCAGCGAUGGAUUUGAGACCAGCCACUCCACGGCGAGCAGUGACGGGCGGAGAUCUAUCUAUGGUACGCUCCUGGUUUUGUGAUUUCGAGAAUGUGAGAGAAUGCGAGGUCUUUGUAGAUCGGACGCUGCAAAAGCUCUGGGCGGGAAUGCAGAGUUUCCAAUUCAAUCUCAAGAACACAAUAAUGGAAGUACCACCUCCAGAUUUUUUGGGCAGUGAUCAAUGCUUUCGCUGCAAGUAAGGAAGAUUUUCUCCUUCCUUUCUCCCUUUCGAUGCUUUACUUCUUAUUUUUUCUUCUCAGGAAGUUUUUGAAUGGUUUGAUUACUUGCGAGGGAUGUGCGGAAGGAUUUUGCUCCUUUUGCUCCAUAACCAGGUCGGAGAUUCUUUCUUUUCUCUCGUGAUUUUUUCUAUAAUGUUACUACAGUUUCGAAGAGCAAAAUGAUAGAACCUUUUGCAUGGAUUGCAAUGCGAAUGAUCUCGAUCGUAGGCGAAAGCUUGCUCGUCAACAACGCUCCGUUUCUAAGGUAUGCGUAAAGUCUCCCGGGCCGAGUUGAGAACAUCCUUUUCUAGCCUGUGAAAAAAAAGGUUUUAAUCCUUUAAGCCUUUUUCGCUAUAUAAUAGGUGUCACCUUAGGUCGCUAGAAAGGUUUGGCCAUGGCCUCGUCUUCGACCGGAGGCGAGCAGCCUGCAAAAAAAGUAGCUCUCCAUCGACUUGUGGUCGAUGAUGCAGUCCAUGACGAUAAUUCGAUCGUAACUCUUCACCCAGAUCGGAUUCAAGCUCUCAAUCUCACGCCAGGCGAUACCGUUCUCGUCAAGGUGAGUGAUGGUCUUAAUUCCUUUACUGUAGGAUGCUAAUCCUUUUAUGAAUGAGCAGGGGAAGAGAAGGAGAGAUACUGUCCUCAUCCUUCUUCCAGACGAAAAUUGUGAGGAAUUCAAGGUGAGGAUCAACAAGGUCGUCCGGGUGAACCUGAGAGUCAAGCUCGGAGAAGUCGUCUCGAUCCACCAGAUCCAAGAAGUGAAAUACGCGAAGAAGGUUCAUGUUCUUCCUCUGGAUGACACCAUCGAGGGCCUCACAGGAAAUCUCUUCGAUUCUUUUCUCAAAGGUAAGUCCACGGUUCUAUCAAGCGUUUGCACUAACUUUCUUUUUGUGAUCGAAGAUUACUUCACUGAAUGCUUCCGGCCAUUGAGAAAAGGUGACCUCUUUUUGGUCCGUGGAGCGAUGCGAGCAGUGGAGUUUAAGGUGGUGGAAAUCGAUCCUCCGGGAGAGUAUUGCUAUGUCUCUGCAGACACCGAGAUCUUCUGCGAAGGAGAGCCGGUCAGGCGAGAGGACGAAGAGAACAAGCUCAAUGAGAUUGGUUACGAAGACAUAGGUGGAGUUCGCAAGCAACUUGCUCUGAUCCGCGAGGCUGUCGAGCUUCCACUGAGGCACCCAACGCUCUUUCGAACGAUUGGAGUGAAACCACCGCGAGGAAUCUUGCUCUUUGGGCCUCCAGGGACUGGAAAAACGAUGAUUGCCAGAGCAGUCGCCAACGAGACUGGAGCCUUCUUCACAGUCAUCAACGGACCCGAGAUUAUGUCCAAGCUGAACGGUGAAAGUGAGAGCAAUCUUCGCAAGGCGUUUGCAGAGGCCGAGAGAAACGCUCCCUCGAUCAUCUUCAUAGACGAGGUGGACUCCAUUGCUCCAAAGCGAGAGCAAGCUCACGGAGAGGUGGAGCGAAGGAUCGUCUCACAGCUCCUGACGCUCAUGGACGGAUUGAAAACGCGCUCGAACGUUGUCGUCAUGGCAGCGACGAACCGGCCGAAUAGCAUCGACCCCGCUUUGCGAAGAUUUGGAAGGUUCGAUCGAGAGAUUGAUAUUGGUGUCCCGGACGGAGUUGGCAGGCUAGAGAUACUUAGAGUUCAUACCAAGAACAUGAAACUAUCCAACGAUGUAAGUUCUCCUCAAAGGUUUCUGCCAACUUACUCUUGUGUCGUUGUUUUAGGUGGACUUGGAAUCUGUCUCCCAAAAUUUGCACGGUUUUGUUGGGGCGGACUUGGCAUCACUUUGCUCUGAGGCUGCCAUGAACUGCAUUCGCAAGAAAAUGGACAUCAUCGACUUGGAGGCCGAGACCAUCGACGCUGAGAUUCUGAACCUGAUGGCCGUCGACAAGGACGAUUUCCAGCUCGCAUCUGGCGUCAGCAAUCCAUCAGCGCUCCGAGAAACAGUGAGUAUAGAUCUCCUUACCCAAUCGUUUCUAACAAUCGAUUAUUUUUCCGCAGCUCGUGGAAGUUCCAGACGUUUCUUGGGAAGAUAUCGGCGGCCUGGAGUCAGUGAAGCGAGAACUCGAGGAGACAAUCCAGUAUCCGAUCGAGUUCCCCCACAUGUUCGAGAAGUUUGGCAUGUCACCGUCGAAAGGAGUUCUCUUCUACGGCCCACCCGGCUGCGGCAAAACUCUCCUCGCUAAAGCCGUGGCGACGAUGAUCCACUGCAACUUCAUCAGCAUCAAGGGACCGGAGCUUCUCUCAAAGUACCUCGGCGAGAGCGAGGGCAACGUGAGGGAGGUGUUUGACAAGGCCCGGGCGUCAGCGCCGUGCGUCCUCUUCUUCGACGAGCUCGACUCCAUCGCCAUACAGCGCGGUAUCUCGGCCUAUGACGCCGGCGGUGCCGUGGACCGUGUCCUCAACCAGCUGCUCAUCGAGAUGGACGGUCUUACUGCCAAGAAGACGGUGUUUAUCAUCGGUGCUACCAACAGGCCGGACAUCCUCGACUCGGCCUUGCUCCGGCCUGGACGAUUGGACCAACUUAUCUACAUUCCUCUCCCGGACGAGCCUUCUCGGCUCAAGAUCUUCCAGGCGUGCUUGAGAAAGACUCCGCUGUCAAUGGACGUGGAUCUGGCUGCUCUUGCGAGGCACACGCCAGGAUUUAGCGGGGCUGAUAUCACCGAGAUUUGCCAGCGAGCUUGCAAGUUUGCGAUCCGAGAGGAUAUCGAGAAGGUACUUCAAAGUUUUUUUUUUUGUAGCUGGCUUGAGCUUAAACUCUCUUUGUUCCUUUCAGGACAUGAAGAAAGCUGCUGAGAAUGGUGGCGAAGACAUGAUGGACGAGGACAAUGCGGUGGCUUAUGUUGAGCCGAGGCAUUUCGAGGAAUCGAUGAGGUUUGCUCGGCGGAGUGUGAGCGACGCGGAUGUUCGCAAGUACAAGGCUUUCUCGCAGAGCCUCCACCAGUCUCGAGGAUUUGGAGAGUUUAAGUUUCCAGGAGCCGAGCACCAGAUGGUCGAUCAAAAUGAUACUGCCCAAAUGCCCGAUGAAGAUUUGUAUGCUUAAGAACAAUGAUAUAUUUAUUAAUAUUGAUUUAUUAUGUUUAUUAUUCACCUUUUAUUUUAUUUUCCUUUAAUGUUGGGACAGGAAAAAAUACAAAAAAAAAUUUGUCAGUUCUUAAGAUUCCAGUACCCCACCGCUCACAGUGGAAUGCGAUUAUUAUUCCAUAUCUCUCUGGAUAAGAAUCCAGUAAAACAUUUUAAUAGUGGGAGUAUUUCCAAUUUAUUAUCGCAAAGCAUGAUGCUGCUAGACUGGACCCUGCAAUGUGAUGGAUUGAAAUUUAUCGAUGCUGUGUCAUUCGAGCUUUCCAGUUUGCUUCCCAGAGUGUCCCAUCCAAUUUUUGGAGAUUUUUUUUAAGGCUAUGGCCGCCCUUUCUUUGUGAGCAGUAGCCAAACUAUCAUGACGACGAUUGGCGAGCUCUUUACGCUGUUUAUAAUUCAAUUGUUUUGGAUAUUUAAUCAAAAGGAAUUCAUAGGAAAAGUUUGAGAUGCUUGCACAAGGGGUUUAGACCGUAACACUAAACACAGAUGCUGCUGGUGCUUUAGGUGCUGCUUCUUCAACUGCUGCUGGUGGAUCUUCCAAGCUCAGCUCUUUGGUUUUCUCCUCCAGCUCAGGUGUAGCAGCUGGAGGAGCAGCUUCUUCACUUGGAACUUCAGGAGCAGCCACUUCUUUUGCAGCUGGAGCUGAUGCUUCCUCAGCUGACGGAGCCACUUCCUCAGCUGGAGGCACUUUUUCAGCUGGAGUUGGAGUUGGAGUUGUUACUUCUUCAGCUGGAGCUGGAGUUGGAGUUGGGGGAGGAACGUCCUUUACCUAGACAAUAAAAAUAAGUUCAAAGAACAGCAAAAGAGGAAACAUGUUGUUAAACGAUGUCAAGAAUCUUAAAACCAGUCAAGCAGCUCAACAAUGAUCAAGGGGAGUAUAUCAGGGGAUAUUCGGUUCCAGGUCAGUCUCUCUCGAGUUAGAGUCAUUUAUCUUCCUGUUUCUUUGGAACGAUGGUCGAUCCACCAAAGAACUGAUUGAGAUCGGGGCCAGAUCCAGAGAGUGGGGAGCCAAGGAAGUAAAAGGGAGGAAUGAAUCGAAAGAAUCAAACAGAGCUCUCGAGCAAAAGAAGAGGAAGAUCAUCUCACUCUCAUUCUCACAGAUCUGUGCUUGCCUCUUCAGAGCUCAUUGUCAAAACUCUGGGAUGGAUCGAUGGAUCGGCGAGGAGAGCGAGCGAAGAAGCGAGCGAGGAAGAACCAAGAGAAAACGCUGCCCCUGUGUAGUGAACAUACAUGAUAGAGAUUUAUAUACAAGCAGCAAAAACCCAGGCAGUAAAAACUCGAGGUGAAAACCCGGGGUAAAAACUCACCAGCCGGUUACCAUUCACGUAAGGUUAAGCGGUCCUUUCGAGAAUGGGCGGUGACCUGUUUUUCCCAAAAGCUGGAAUCUCCAGCAAAAAGCCCCGUCCCAAUCCCUAUAUUUUAUUUCCAGCCAAGUCUUGCCGCCAUUGUGGGCCACGUGUCAGUACAGUGAAUGGACUACAGCGCUGUAUGAUGACGCCACGUGGGUACCCAUGUGGGCGCCCACCUGGCAUAAUGUUUAGCUGGCUCUCAGCUUACGUGUCAUAAUGUAGGGUUCUUGGUGGAUUCUCCAAGCUCGAUGGCCAUUGGAAUCCCUUCGUCAGUAAGAUAUUUCUCAUUCUUGACAAGAUCUCUGGAAUCUGUGACGUAAUCCAUUGUUUCUUGCUGGAUCUCUAUCUCUUCUACUCUCUUAUCUCUUUGUGAAAUCUUUUGGAUCUCGGAUCUCUCUCGAAAUAUCCCUCAGUCUCUUCGAUUUCUAUCCAUCUCUGGAUCUAUUGGAUUCUUGCAUUGAUCUCUUAGCAGUCUUGCGUGAAAUCUCUUGAAUCUCUAUCCAAUCCCUCUCGAAACAUCGCUCAAUCUUAUCCACCUCCGUCUUGGAUUCCAAUGCCGUGCUCCUCCUUGAGGCAUCCAUCCGCCAUCAAUCCUCUCAGCGCCUCGCCAUCUCCCCGGCGGUCAGAAGCAGCGUAAGUGCUCGAGAGAGCGAUGACAGCCGCGGUAGUCUUCUCAUCCAGGCCGAGAAUCUGCGCUGCCGCUCUCUGCCCGCGACUGAUAUCCUCGUACGUCUUGCAGCCCGCCAGGAACGCCAUCCAUACCGCCGGGGUGGGCUUAAACGGCAUGGAAUCGAUCACACACUCGGCCUCCUCCAGCCGCCCCGCCCGAGCGAGCAGAUCCACAAUGCACCCACAGUGCUCCAGCGUCAGCUCGAUCCCCUCCCGGUGAUCCUUCCGCAACCUCGUCACGAACUCUUUCCCGAGAUCCACCAUCCCGGCAUGGCUGCAAGCCGCGACGACGCUCACGAAAGUCACGUCCACCGGCCUCACUCCCUCGAGCUGCAUGGCGCAAAAGAGCCUGGCGGCGCUGGAUCCGUCACCAUUCUGGGCAGUCGCGGCGAUGAUCGACGUCCACGAAACCACGUCCGGCUGCUCCAGCUCUCCAAAGAUCCUGGCCGCCACCUCGAGGCUCCCACACUUCCCAUACAUGUCGAGCAGCGCCGUGGCCACCAUCGAGCUCGAUCUCUCCAGCUGAUAGCCAAUGACGCAGUCGUGGACCCAUCGCCCUUCCUUGAUCGCGCUCGCGCCCGCGCAAGCAUUCACCACCGUGAUCAAGGUAACUUCGUUCGCUCUCACGCCCUCUAGCAGCAUCUCCCGGAAGAGCUGGACGCAUCGCUUGAUCCGCCCAAACUCCGCAAACGCCGAGAUCAUUGUCGUCCACGAGACGUGAUCCCGCCUCUCCUUUAUCUCCACGAACGUCCGGUACGCUUCUUUCAAGCUCCCACACCUCGCGUAGGCUCUGAUGAUCGCGUUGCUCACAGCAGUGUCGGAGUCGCAGCCACCCCGGAUGAUACACCCGUGGAUCCACCGCGCGGUCGCGGCGCUGGAGCAGGCAUUGAUCACGGUGAUGAACGCGAUCGAGUCGGGCUCCACGCCGUCGUCCUCCAUGUCCCGGAACAGCCGCAGCGCGUCGUCGUGCCGCCCGGCCCUCACCAUCGCCGCCAUCAUGGCUGUCCACGAGACCGCGUUCCUCACGGGCAUCCUCUCGAAGAGCUCGCUGGCGGUCUCGAAUCGCCCGGCCUUGGCAUGCAUGUUGAGGAUCGCGUUGCAAACCGGGACAUCGGAUCGAAGCCCACUGGCAAAAGCUCGCUCGUGGAUCGCCGCUCCCUCGCCCGGAUCAUCGCACCAGGCCAGCAGCUCGAGGAGAGUGAUCCGGUUCGGCCGCGUCCCCUGGAGCUGCAUCCUCCGGAAGAGACCCAUCGCGGCUGGAAAGUCCCCGGCCCUGGCAUUUGCUGCGAUGAUCGAGGUCCACGACACCACGUCCCUGUGAUCCAUGGCUUCGAAAACCCGAGUAGCGUCGGCGAGGCUGGAGCACGCCGCGUACAUCUUCAUCAGCGCGUUCGCCACCACCAGGUCGGUAUCAUAGCCCGUCUCUUGGAUUCUGACGUGAAUUCUCCUUCCCUGUUCCAGAUCCUGGAUCGCGCCCAGCACCGCCACAUACGUGAUCUUGUCCGGGAGGACGUGGUUUCUCUCCAUCUCUGCAAAAAACUGGAUCGCCCGCGAGAAGUCUCCAUGCUUGGCGUAGCCCGUGAUCAUGGCUGUCCAGAUGACCACCCCGGUUUUCUUCGUGGUGGCGGCGAAGGAGUCUUGAGCGUCGGCCAUGCUGCCCAGGCGGACGAAGGUCUGGACGAUGUGCCUUGCCAGCGAUGGAUGGUGGUCGAGGACAUUGUCGCGGGUGGCGUAUUGGCGGAUCCGGCGGGCGUCCGCCAGUGUCCCGCAGCCGCGGAGGAGGUCCGAGUAGAGCACUGGGCUGCCGGAGAUGGAUCCAUUGUCGAGAGCCGCUAGAGUUUCCUGGACCGCAUUGAUGGUGGCGGUGUAGCCUCUUUUGCUGCUUGGCCAGUGGAGCUUCAUUCCUUGAGGUGGAGUAGCCGCGGCAUUAUCGAUCGAUGAUUCACUAUCGUCCUCUCUGGAAAGAAAAUAGGAGUGCUGUAAGUAAACACGAUGAAGAGGAACAUCAACCUCUCUCUAUAUACUCUCGCUUGUCCUUGGCCCUCCAUUCUCUGUUCUCUUGGCUGUACCCAACAAACCAAAAGAAGGCACAGCAAUGGAAUGCGAAGCUCGACUCACUGGUCAAAGAAUCGCUUCAUGCUCUGCAAGUACCCCUCAAAAACGAGCUUCAUGUGACUAAUAGCGAUCUCAUUCUAUUGAAGAAUGGAAACUAAGUUCUUGCCUGGGAUCUUUAGCUUUAGAUGGGAUUAAAUGCCGGCUAUCUUUUGGGAGAUUUCCAAUCAGUCCAUUCCUGAGGAGAGAAGAAAAAAAGAAACUGUAAAUGAAUGUACUCCAAAAAGUGAUUGCCUACCAGAUCAAAUCAAAUGCCGGAGUUGCUGGUUCUCCUUUCGAAGCGCUUGAAGUUCCUCCAUCAUUUCAGCUUGCUUCGCGACUAGCUUUUCCACACAGGACGCCGUCUCCGUCUGCCAAAGGUAAAAGGAAAUCAUGGAAACAAAGUAAGAAAAAAAGUGAGAGUAUCAACAAAGUAACAACCUGUUGGAUGUGAAACUGGCGUAUGAGCUCUAGGUGAAGGUUUUGCACGUCCUCGUGUAUGGCUCGCUGGACGGAGCCAAGGCUUUCCUCGAGAGCACGUUGCACAAGCUGGAGCGCGAACGAAGACGAGGACGGCUGUGGAGGUGAAACUCUUGAGGGAGGCGAGUUUGGUGACGACGCCGAGAGCCUUGGAGGAAGUUCUAGAGCCAAGCCUUUAACAGCCGCCAGAUGCUCUCUAGCUUUGGUGAGUCGAGUUUGAUGAUCGUUUGGAGACAGUUCUGCUGCAUUGCUAGCCUCAACACGCGGAGACGUGGUAGGAUGUUCGUCCUGUAGGAGGAACGUAAAAGUGAAACACACACAAUGGAAGAGUAGUCAACUACUUACUUGAUGCGAGGUUUGCUGGAAUUCGUCUGAGUUUGCUAUUGCCGAGGGAGGAGAUGGCUUCUUUGUUUCGCCGAGUCCGUCAAUGAACGAAGAGAGAGGUUGAACUAUCGGUUGCACGUCCACGAGAGGAGAAAAAACCUCCAUGUCGUCAACACCGCUCGGGGUAGCCUUCGACGAGUGAAGGAUGAAAGAACCACUAUUGGACCACACGCUCUGGUUUGAUGAUUCUUCUGCCGCUGCUGCAUUCCUUGGAUUUGCCACAGUCAGCGAUUCAGGCCGUCCAAAAGAAGGUCUAUUUCUUCCGGAAGCGGGAAGUGGAUCAGGCAUUAUGGCCGGAGUCUCCUCUCCAUUGGCACCGAGCAAAGCCACGUCAGGCGACCAGCUUGAGGUGCUUAUUGGAACCGGGUUUGUCCGUUGCCAGCAUACACUUGCAACAGCCUAAAGAAGUCAACAGUGUCACAAGUUGAAAACGAAUAGACCGUCGCACCUCAGAUGGAUUAAAAGCUCGAAGAACAGCCAUGGGUUGGACUUUGGUACGGAUGUCAUAGAACAUAAUUCUCCCAUUUGUAGUACCGGCUGCGACAGUCCAACCAUCGUCUUUCAAUGCUAAAGAAGAGAAUGGCGCAUCGCAAGAAAGAGAGUGGACAGCCUUCUUUACGCUGGUGUCGUAAGUAUGCAAUCUUUUAUCAAAGCCCACGCUUACUAUGACCUGGAAGGAGAUCAGUCUCAGUCCAUGACGACAAACUUCAACCUCAUGCAUACCUUUUCAUUUGAAAAUGAGAAACCGACACCGCUUGCAGGUGCCAGAUGUUGUCGAAUCCAUGAGGCCUAUCAACGAUGAGCAAAGAAUAAAUUGGCUGAAAAGCAUUAGAUGAAGAAAGCGACUGACCGUACCUUUGGACUGCGUCCAGUAGUGUCCCAAAGAUGCAAUGACCCAUCGUCCCCAGCAGUAACCAGAAGAUUUCGGCUCGAUCGAGAAUACUCCAAGAGUCUCAAAACCUGCUCCAAAGAAACUCAGCAAUUCCCUGCCACGAAAAACGCUCAUGAUGACCAAAGAGAUACUCUACGACCCGCUAGCAUUGCAAAAAACUCUUGCAGGAUACGAGACGCCGAAGAAAAACUCACCUGAUUGAAGGGAUCCUUCACUUCGGUGAUUCGAGACCCGGAAGCAAGGCUGUAGAUGAUGAGAUCACCCCUGGUACUGAUGGACGCAAGGUGCUCGUCUUUGCAGUUAUACAUGACGCCAGUGAUCGUGUCAGUGUGCCCCUUGAGCGAUUUUAUACACUUCUUCCUUUGCAUGUCCCAGAUUCGCACGACUUUCCCAGUUCCACCAGAGCAAAGAUAUCUCGAUGACUUUGAGCUGAAGUUUAUGGCCAGUAUAGACUCCUGGAAGGCAAACGAAACACACAACAAUCACGAGAAAGAAAGAAAAAAUCCAAGAAACACAUACGUCUAGAACAUCGGCUGGAUCGGACUCUAGCUGCGGCACAGAUCCUAGAAGCUUGCCUCCCUUGAGCCACAGCGAAAUCCUGCGAUCCUCCCCGGAGCUCGCCAGGACGUGAUCUGGAAGCAAAGAAACAUCGAAAUAUCACCAGGACGCGCAAUGCAGGCAGCUAGAAGCCGCGAACUGAGAUCUUACUGGUGUGAUUCCAUCGCAGAGCGUUAACCUGGACGCCGGGCGCCGGGAGGAACUGCGAGACGCAAGGAUCCGCCCGGCCCUCGCUCGCGGCAGCGGCAUCAAAGAGCUUCACAUUGUCGCCCCCACACGCCGCGAUCAGCCGCUGCUGCAUCGCCGCCUCGCGGAUCCUCAUCCACUUCGAAAAAUCCCUCUCGCAACACUGGGAGAGAAAAUAAGGGCUCCCGUUAAGAACCAAAACUAUUUCCACCACCCCAGGAAUCGAGCCUGAGACGUCCAAGAAGAUAGACAAAGGAAUCGAACCCAAAACCUGUUGGGACUUCAGAUAUUUCUCUCUCGUUACUUCUUCUUGCCCGCUUUGCCUUCUUUCCUCCUGAUAACUUCGUCCGCGUAUUUGAUCCCUUUCCCCUUGUAAGGCUCUGGAGGUCUCCACGAUCUUAUGAUCGCCGCGAACUGGCCCACCGCGCACUUGUCUCUCCCCGAGACUGUGAUGCGAGUGUUUUCUUCGACUUUGACGCUGAUACCAUCCGGGAUCUUGAUCUUCACCGGGUGCGAGAAGCCGACGUUGAGGAUGAUCUCGGUGGGCUCGACCGUGGCACGGUAGCCGACCCCGACCAUCUGGAGUUUCUUCUCGAAGCCUUGAGAGACGCCAACGACCAUGUUGUCUGUGAGCGUUCUGGAGAAGGAAGAAACUUAGAAAGAUGAGAGAUGUCCAAUGCAAAUGCGAGAACAUCUAGAUCUUAGAGCUGAGAAGCAAAAGAACUCGAAAUCGGGAAAAAAAAAAGAAAAGCUGGAGACAUUCAAUGCAGCUAGAAAGUUCUAACGAUUAAGAAUGCGUGGAAACAGGCAAGCUAUGAAAGGAAAAAGAGUUUUGGAAAACUUGGAAAGAUGAAAGAUGUCCAAUGCAAAUGCCAGCACAAAUGCUGGAUCUAGAACUUAGAGCUCAAAAGUGCGAGAUGGUAGAACUCGAAUCGGGGAGAAACUGGAGAACUUCAAUCCAGCAAGAAAGUUUUAACAAAAACUAGAACUCGAGAUCGUGGAAAAACUGGAAAACUUCAAUGCAGCUAGAAAGUUCUAACAAGAACAACGAUUGAAAGCCAAGAACAAUUGGAAACAGGCAAGCUAUGAAAGAAAAAAAGAGCUUUGGAGAGAACCUGAAAAGGCCGUGCAUUUGGCGAGCGCGCCGUGUUUCCAGAGCCCUGGUGACGACAAUCCUCCCAGACUCAUCCCUGGUGAGGCUGACCUCUCGCGGAUAGUAGCGUGUCAGCUCUCCCAGCGGGCCCUUGACGGAUAGAUUCGGGCCUUGGAGCACCACAUUCACCGAUUUCGGCACCUCAACCGGCCUCUUCCCGAUCCUGGAUUCCUUGCAAAUCACUCUCAAAGGAAGAUUGCCGCUGGCGCUGCUGCUGCUACUGCAAAUACUGGCUCCCAAAGUCUCGCCGGAGAAAUUACUCCGCAGGCCACUGCAGUACAGCCGCAUUGCAAAUCCGGAAGCUUGGAAGGCGAAAAUCUUACCUCAGUGACAAGGCGCAGGAUAUUGCCGCCAUGGCCGCGUCAAGAGCCCUAAAUUUUCAAAGCGAAAGAUUUGGUUAAGAAAUUUUGCUCCCAGCGAGGUUUGAACUCGCGACCUUUGCCUCAUAAGACCAACGCUGAGCUAAAGGGAGCUUACCACUAUAACCGCAAUCCAUAACCAACGUUGCCAUGGAGUAAAAACGCCGAGAAGAAGACCUAGUAGCGAUGUCUGAGGAAGUUCCAGAGGUUAAAAUCGACGUAAGUUUGCCACAUUCUUCUGUUUAAUCCUUUGUCCCCAAAGACAAACUUUCUUCCAGCCGAGGUUUCUUCCAGACGAGAUCAAUGGUAUCAUCAAAGACGCGCUGGAUCAAUCGCUCGGAAGCAACCAGUUUAGGCACGACAAGGUUUGCAACAAGCUCCCCAACUUUCUCGGACGGAUCCAAACUCCAUCCAAGAAAAAGAUUUUCCAACUUUCUUGGAGGCAUCACUGAUCUUGGAAAACCCAAAACACAAAAGGUGACGGAUUGGACAACCAGCGUCUGCGAAGUUUGUCUCAACAAUCUUGUCAAGCUUGACAAGCCCUUCAAAUACGCCGGUGAGUAGAGAAACGAGCAAAAUCUCCCCUCCUGAUUAGCCACUAAUCACCCACAUUCUCUCCUUGUUUAAGUGACGUGCUUGAUAAUGCAGAAGAACGGUGCGGGGAUGGUCACCGCCACAUCCUGCUUCUGGGAUACCGCGGCCGAUGGUAGGCAUAUUCCUCGAAUCUUUCCCAGAAUUGAACACACCCGUCCGUACAGGGAGCAAAACCAUACGGUGGGAGAACAAAACCAUGUACUGCAUUGUCACAGUCUUUGGCCUCCAGAUCUAAAAUGUAAAUACCAUGUUACCAUGGUAGUGAAUAUACUAGGAAUAUGCCAGCUAUUUAAAUUGGUAUAUGCUUCCUUUGAGAAGAAACUUGGUCGAUCGGAUUUUACUUUUGCGAGUAGAGAUUAGCAAGCAUUACCAUCGCCCUUCCAUCGCCCGGAUUAAAUUCGAGGGCGAUCUUGCUCGCCUCUCCUCCUCGCCGGAUUUCUCUCUGGCUGCCGCAAGCGCCCACCAGGCACAUCAAUUCGAUCCUGCUCGCCUCAAAGGGCAUGCUCUCCGCGAGAUCGAUCGCGCUGUCCAGCCGACCCGAUCGCGCCAGGAGAUCGAUCAUGCAGCAGUAGUGCUGCUUGCUCGGCACCAAUCCAAAAUCCAGACUCAUGGACACAAAGCAAUCCCUCCCUUGCUGGACCUUCCCGCCGUGGCCGCAAGCGAUGAGCGCGGACACGAUGCUGACGUCGUCGGGCGAGAAGAGCAUCUUCAUCUGGCCGUACACGUCAGCGGCUAUCGAGCGGUCGGAUUGGACAUACGUGGCGAGAAGUGUGGUCCACGACGCGGCGUCAGUAUCGGGCAUCGUAUCGAACAAACUCUUUAACUGAAACAAAUGCCCUGUAGCGGCAUUUGCUGCCAAGAGGAUAUUCCACGACACCUGGCUGUGAUCUGGCAUAUUCAGGAAUAAUUUUCUUGUGUGCUCUAAUUUGCCUGAUUGAGUGUAUCCGGCCAAGAAAAUAUUCCAUGAAGCGAGGCUCCACUCUGGUAGGCUGUAAAACAUUCUCUCCGAUUCCUCUAGAUGCCCCGAACAAGCAAAUGCAGAAAGCAUAGAAUUGUUAGAAAUGAUAUCUUUGGGCAGAAUUUUGUCAAAGAAGUCCUUUGCGGCUUCAAGAUUUCCAGUUUGAGUGUAAAGAUUUAGCAUCAAUGUCAAAGAGACGUUGCUGUGAGCAGGCAUUUGAUCAAAAAAAGAUUUUGCCUUGCCAACAUCUCCACUUUCGGCAUAGCCAGAGAGCAUGACGUUCAUUGCCACCAGAUUUCGUUGUGGCAUUUUGUCAUAAACCUCAAUAGCUUUGACAAGAUCAUUCUCUCUUACGCAAAUUGUAAGAAUUGACACCCAGGAGAUUAAAUCCGCCUCUGGCAUUUCCUUGAAGAACGCUUGCAUCUGAGAAAACACUCCCAUAUGAAUAUGCGCUCCAAGCAUUGCGUUAAAACACACAAGAUUCCACUCAGGCAUCACAUUAAACACUUGUAUUGCAUUGCUUAAAUCCAUCACCACGACAUAAGCCGUGACCAUACACGUCCAUGACACGAGAUUCCUUUCCGGCAUGGCUUCAAAGAUCCUCUCCGCUUCCCGAAUAUACCCAAUCUGGGCAUAUGCGUUCAAGACACAAGUCCAAGAGAUUAGAUUCCUUCCAGGCAUCAAGGCAAAUAUCUCUUCCAUUGCCGGAAUCAAACCCUCUCGCGCAUAUGAAGCCAAUAUUCCAUUCCAGGAAACCAUGUCCAGCAGAGGCAUGACAUCAAAUAUCCUCUUCGCAUAUUCCAGAUGCCCAUUUCUGGCAUAUGCCGCGAAUAUGGCGUUCCACGCCACGAGGUUCCUCUCGGGCAUUCCAUCGAAUAUCCUCCGGGCACGCUCCAAUUCGCCCACCCUGGAACUCGCAGUCAGCAUCGAAACCCACGCGCAUUGUUCUCUUGUCGCUAACACGGAGAGCAUAUGCCCCCCGGCAGGACGAAUAUGCGCCACCUUUUAAAUCCCGGUGCCACCCGCACGGGUGCACGCCGGGAUCCGUGGCAGGAUCCGCGGCGAUGCUCCCAUGCCCCGCAUGGCCAUAGAUAUAUCCCGCAAUGCCCAUCAUGAGCCAUGACACGACGUCUCAACCAGUCGGCGGUUCAAUCCUCGCUGGGCGGCAUUUAAAAAUAGUCAAGUUCGGAGGGAGAUCAUUUUCAUACAGUUGGAAGAAAGCAAGAAGAACUCUUUGUCUUCCUUCAACACCGAAGGAAGUAAACAAUGAAACCAAGCAAGGAAGAACUUCGAUCAAUCAGUCCAAUCCCAACAACGAUCCAAUUUCUUGGAGAAUAGAAUUAGUUGGCUUGAUUUGUCAAAAUGCCCGGGAAAGGGAUUUUGGGGUCACGCACACGUGUGCCCAGCGCACGUACAUGGGCUGUUGGUGGCUGGCAUUGGGAUUUAUGACCUAACUUGACCUAAUUUGUAAAGCUUUGUCGCACACGUGGGCCACCCGGCCGCUUGGUCCGCCGAUAAUCUUUCUCUUUUGAAAUGAAUAGAUUGAUCGCGAGCGAGCGAACCGCAUGUGUUGUAACGUGCAAGUUUUACUAUAAUCUAUGUAAUUUGAUCAAGCCAUUCAUUUGACGCGAUAGACAAAACAAAUAUAUGCCAUCUUGACUAGUCCAAGAUUCUCGAGCUUGUGAAUGUAUUGCUAUACUAAUAUAUAUUUUAAGGUCUCACUAAGAAGCACUACUAUACUAAUCGCGAUAAAUUUAAUCAAGACAUGCUCUUGACAAUGUUGGAGGGCGGGAAUAUUAACAAGACCCCAUGCGGUGGACACGCUAACGUGUUGUUAACGAUCUCCAGAGCUGCGGGGCAACGAAAGGAUGCGUAGAUUAUAGAGCUCCAUGCGUCCAAGUCAUCGGCAGCGAUGAAAGUCUUGGAAUCUCUCAACAUCUUUCCUUGGGCAUUGAAUGUGCGCCUUGCAUAGUUUGCGCCCUCGCGAUUAAACAAGACGUCCUCGCGAUCAAACAACGAUACUGGCAAAAAAAUUGCUACUUUUACAAAGAUCAUGUGAUCGCUGAUUUUAAGUGUCUCUUUCUUUUCCAGCAAGAUUUUCAGAUGUAUAGGAGAGCGUCCCGGCUCAUUAUAUAUGAUUUCUUCCUCCCCACACACAACACGGCUCAAUCAAUCACAGGGACAAAAAGUAAACAGUAAAAUAGUGGACUUUUUACCAACAGAUGCGGUACAAGGCUACAGGCUAGCCCAGAUAUCUACGUGUACUCGGAUCAAGGAGGGUAAAAACCCAAAAGUGCAUGGAGAGUGAAUGCCUCUCUCUCUCUCUCUCUCUCUUAAACUCUCCCCAAGUUAAAGAGUGAACCGCUCACGUCACUGAAGAGGCGCGUAUGAAAAUACGUACGCGAGAUGUCUAGCGUAGAGAUGGAGAUGGGUGGGGGAUCGAUCAGAAAUUUGGCAAUGCCAGCAGGUGUUCUUCGGGAGUUGUGGAUGCUGUCGGUAGUUCCAUUUGGACCGGCCUUGUGGACGUGGGGCGGCCAGUCCAAUCCCACUUACUCUCUUCUCUCCUCCAUUUUUUUUUUCUCAGUUUUUUAAUGGUAUUUAUAUAAUAAAUAAGUUAUGCGGGAUGAGGGUUACGGGGUAUAUUCUUCCGGGGGGCGGGAGGAAUAUACCGCGCUCUGGCCAAAAGCCUGGGUUUUUGGGGUCAGGCUGGGCGAGUGAGAGAGCGUAUGUUGAUGCCCGUGUGCAGGUGCAACAGCAGACAAGGCCAACUCCGCGCAUUCAAAAGGUGGACACACACGCAACUUUUGCCCGUGCUCUCACCACACACAAACAAAAAAAAAAAAAAAAAGAAGAAGAAAAAGAAAAGAUAUUUAGGGAGUUUUUGAUCUCUAAAUUCGUUGUUAAAUUAGUUUUGUCAAUUUCUCUAGAAACUUGAAGAAUAGUGAUGGUUUCCUUUUGAAAUUGCUUGCUCAAAUUCAAAGCCGUAAGUGAGCUUGAAUGGAUUCCAAUGCAUCAACCACCAGGUGUAUAAUAAAUUCGUGAUUAUGUUGUGCAAGUUUCACUUUGCAGAAGUUGCACAAUCCGACAAUGCAGAUGAUGCGGCCAAAGUAAUCCAAAUCCCAUUCUUGCAUCCAUGCAAUGCUUCCUUUCAAAAUUUACAUAAUCUCUGGUAACCUCCAUUGCAUAUUACCUUUAAGGUAUAGAGUUUAGGGUUUAGGAGUCUAAAUGUUCCGAUUUCACUCGCCAGACAGAAUUUGCCGUGUCGCGGCAUUUGGGCACCAUGUCGGCUGAAACCCUCUGUCUUUUGCGUCAUCGGUUAUCCACAGCCCCUCGUGGCUGCGUCUCUCAGUUAGGGUUUAUCACCUUUAUUUUUAUAUCUUUAGAGCCAGCACUUUUGUUUAUAUAUCUAUCACAAACUUCUGUACAAAUAAGUCUCUGUCUUUGCCAUGUGCUUCCUGCCUGUCUCUCCAAACUUACACCACCUUCUUUUCCCCUCCUCUUUGUCAAUCCUCGCCUUCUUCUUGGGCGUUCUUUUCUUUUUCCCCAGCCGUGGAUCGAUCCAUCGAUUGCGUCUCGAUCUUCCGUGCGGCGAGAGGAUUGAAUGAGGGCACCGCCACCCCGAUCAAAUUCGUGUUCUUGUGAUUGUCCCUUUGGAACCCAAGGAAUAAGUUCUAGCGGAUCAAUCAGUCGAAAGAAAGAGAGAGGUAAAGAGAGAGAGAGAAAGAGGGAAAGAGAGAGAGACAUAGAGAGGAAUGAGCUUUGAGAUCACGAGAUGAUGACGAAGAGGGUUUUCGGGAAAGGAUCUGGGCGUGGCUGAUCGCGAUUAUAAAUGCAAAUCCCAAUGUCGGGGGACAGGGGGGGAUUGGGGGUCGUUUUCUGGGAUCAGCCUCGCACUGGGCCGCGUCGUCACUAGCUAGCUUCACGAAACAAGGCUGUGAAAGUGCCUCUUCUUCUUCUUCUUCUUUCUCUUCUACUUGAAGAGAGAGCUCUUCACUUCACUCCCUUUCUCCUUUGGCUCCUUGCUCAGAGCUUUGCUCGGCCAGAAGAAGAAAGAACACGAGGAAACGAUCAAUCCCAGGCCUAGUGGGACUGGAAAAAGCGAGGGUGUAGAGAAAGAUCGAUCGUGCAUUUGGGGGAUUUCGUCAGGAGCUUGCCUGAUAGAGAGGCUCUGCGUUUGUUCUUGUGCCUUCUUUCCGCUCGAGGAGCUACCUACAUUGGCUGCGAGGAGAUUGGGAGGGAGAUAGAUUGGAAACAGCGGUCCUAUGGAGGAUAGGGAGAUGGGGCCUGUAGAACGCACACGAAAAUGCCCCAUCCUGGAGCACCACCAACAGGCGAGUAGCAGCAGCGGUGGAAGCUUUGGAUUUCCAGCGUCGCCAGUGUGUUCCCGGCUCAAUCUCUUGCUCCUCAUCAGCCUCGCGUCGCUGCUGCUCCAGGUUCCCGGUGCCUACGCCACCCGAGAUUUGGAUCAUCGCCCAGGUAUACAACACUGCUCUUUCUUCUCGCUUCUCUCGGGCGAUUCGUCGCCAAUCGCGGCCCUCGAGCCUGCCCCGGGCACGAGCACCGCGAGCGGCGAAUUGGGCUGUCAAAUGCCCCCUUGAUUGGCACCAAAAUGCGUGCCAAUUUCGCCCCAGAGCACGAGAGAAAACAGAGCAUCCCCUGUUCUAUGUGUUCUUCGCUAAUUCUUUUCCUUUUGCUACCUAGCAGAUGAUCGAUCUCUCGUGGGCCGCGCCACUUCACUGUCACUCCAGCAAGAAAUGCAAGCGUUGCUGUCCUUCAAGGCCUCGAUCGUCGCGCACAACCCCGGGAAGAGCUCGAUCCUCGAUGGCUGGAACCCUAGCGAUGGCGAUCCUUGCAAGUGGGGUGGGAUCCAGUGCAGCCAGGGCCCCGAGGGCGUCCACGUCACAGCCAUCGAUCUCUCCUCCAACAAUCUCGCCGGAUCCAUCCCCGAGGGCCUCGCCAAUCUCUCCUACCUCUCCUCGCUCUCCCUCGCGCUCAAUUCCUUCUCCGGCCGCCUCCCAGGCGAUCUCUCCCGCUGCUCCAGCCUCGCCGAGCUCGAUCUCUCCAGCAACCAGCUCCACGACACGAUCCCGCCAUCGCUCCUGGACGAGCUGCCCUCUCUCGCCACCAUCAAUCUCGCCUACAACGAUCUCGUGGGCGGGAUCCCCGACGAGUUCUUCUCGCCCAGAUCGUGCGCCAAUCUCCAGGCGCUCAAUCUCUCCAGCAAUCCCGGCCUGGGCGGACCCCUGCCGGGAUCUCUCAAGAACUGCCGCGCGAUCGAGCUCCUCGACGUCUCAAGCUGCAAUCUCACAGGAUCACUCCCAGACGACACGAUCGCGAGGCUGCCGCUCCUCUCCAAUCUCGUCCUCCGCGAGAAUGGAUUCGUGGGCGAGGUCUCGCCGGAGUUCUUCUCCAGCUGCCAGAACCUCGAGAGCCUGGAUCUGGCGCUCAACAAUCUCACUGGAGAAAUCCCCGCCCAGAUCGAGAACUGCAGCAAGCUCGUCAAUCUCGCCGUCUCGGCGAACAGUUUCCACUCCCUGCCGCGGGAGAUCGGCGGGCUAUCGGCGCUGGAGCGCCUCCUCGCGACGCACAACGGGUUCACGGAGCUCCCCGCGGAGCUGGAGCGGUGUUCCAAGAUUAGGGUUCUCGCGGUGAGUGGGAAUUCUCUCUCGGGGCCACUGCCUGGAUUCAUCGCCAAGUUCUCGAGCCUGGAAUUCCUGAGCGUCUACACCAAUCGCUUCGUGGGCGUCGUCCCGGCGUGGCUGGGCGGGCUGCGAUCGCUGCGGCACCUCGACGCCAGCAACAAUUUGUUCACGGGCGAGAUCCCGGUGGAAAUCUCCGGCGCCAGCGAGCUCCAGUUCUUGCUCCUGGCAGGGAACGCGCUCAGCGGCGAGAUCCCUCGCGAGAUCGGCAGCAAGCUCCUCAAUCUCCAGGUGCUGGAUCUCUCCCACAACCAAAUCUCGGGCAGGAUCCCUCCAUCGCUGGGCAACCUCAAGUUCUUGCUGUGGCUGAUGCUCGCGAGCAACGAUCUGGAGGGCGAGAUCCCGGCGGAGCUGGGGAAUUGCAGCAGCCUCCUGUGGCUCAACGCGGCCAGCAAUCGCUUGUCGGGAUCGCUGCCGGAAUCCAUCGCCUCCAUCGGGAGUGGCGUCAAUGCGACCUUCGCGCUCAACGCAAGAACCCUACCGCUCAUCCCCAAGGGCAUGGGCGAGUGCGAAGCGGUCAGGCGCUGGAUCCCCUCCCAGUACCCUCCCUUCGAUCUCAUCUCCACGGUCAUGACGGUCGAGCGCUGCCGGAGCUUCUGGAAUUUGCUCCUCCGCGGGAUCUUCAUGUAUCCUCUCUGCCCCAGCCGCCCAUCCGAGGAAUCCAUGGGCUACAUCCAGCUCGCGAGCAAUCGACUGACAGGACCCAUCCCAGGGACGCUGGAUCGCUGCCGGCACUUGGGGCUCCUCUUCCUGGAUCAAAACAACCUCACUGGAUCCAUGCCCCAGAGCUACUCCAUCGCGCUCACGGGGCUCAAUCUCUCGCGCAACGCCCUCUCCGGAUCGGUGCCGCGAUCGAUCGGCGCGCUCUCCUGCGUGGUGAGCCUGGACCUCAGCUACAACAAUCUCAGCGGGAGGAUCCCCAGCGAGCUCCAGAACCUCUCCAAGCUCAAUCGAUUCAACAUCUCCUACAAUCCAGAGCUCGUCGGCCCAGUUCCAAGCGGCCAGCAAUUCUCCACCUUCGGCCCCAGCGUCUACGAGGGCGAUCUCAAGCUGUGCUCCUCCUCGUCCAACGUCAUGGGGAUGAAGAACCCUAAUUCUUCCCUCCCAUCUUGCGGGAAGCUCGGCGAUGGCGAUGGCGAUGGAGGCGGCGGCGGGGGCGGAUUCCUCCCGCGGAGCUCGCGGAUCGCGGUGGCGACGGUGGUGGGGAUCAGCCUGGCGUGCACGCUAGGGCUGAUCGUGCUCGCACUGCUAGGGUUUUGCCUCCUGGGCAAGGCGGCGCCGCCCGGGCCCGGCGGCGCCGCCAUGGACUUCGUCAUGGUGGGCGGCAAGGAGCACCACCGCCACUUCGCGCCGGAUCACGCCGCCGCCGCCAGCGUCCAGGUAUCGCUCUUCUCGGUGGAGCUCCCCAAGCACCUCACGUACUCGGAUCUCGUCUCCGCGACGAGCAAUUUCGACGAGACGAAUGUGGUGGGCAGCGGUGGAUUCGGCAUCGUCUACAAGGCCAAGCUCGCGGAUGGAUCCACCGUCGCGAUCAAGAAACUCAUCCAGGAGGGUCCCCAGGCCGAUCGCGAGUUCCUGGCAGAGAUGGAGACGCUGGGUCACUUGCACCACGAGAACCUCGUCCCGCUGCUCGGCUGCUCCAGCUAUGGCACCCAGAAGCUCCUCGUCUACAAGUACAUGGAGAAGGGAUCGCUGGACGACUGGCUCCACGAGAAGCCGGGAGGAGCGCAAGCGCUAGAGUGGCCGAUCCGGCUCAACAUCGCACUGGGGAUCGCGAGAGGAUUGAAGUUCCUCCACCACAAUUGCUCGCCGCCGAUCGUCCACCGCGACAUGAAAGCUAGCAACAUCCUCCUGGACGACAACUUCGAGCCGCGGCUCACGGACUUUGGGCUGGCCAGAGUUCUUGGAGCGCAAGAGACGCACGUAAGCACGGUGGUGGCCGGGACGCUGGGCUACGUACCGCCGGAGUACUGCCAGACGUGGAGGGCUACCGCGCGGGGCGACGUUUACAGCUUUGGCGUGGUGCUACUCGAGCUCGUCACCGGGAGGAGGCCCAUGUCCAUCUCGUUUGGAGGCGAGAACAAGGAUCACGGGUGUGGGAACUUGAUCGAGUGGUCGGCUUACCACGUGAAGAAGGGGAUCGCGGCGGAGGUUUGCGACCGGAUCGUGCUGCGCUCGGCGGCUCCCGGGGAGCUGCUGGCGUUCCUGCGGCUGGCGGUGGUGUGUACCGCGGAGCUGCCCAUCCGGCGGCCGACGAUGCGGGAGGUGCUCAAGGUUUUGGAGGAGAUCAAGGCGGGGAACUACGCAGCGAUGCUGCAGGGAUCAUCGCAGGGGGGUCACCAGUUUCGGUGAAAGUGUAUGGUUUUAGAUCGAGCAGGGCUCCCGGUUCUAGACGAUCAAUCAGAAGACUCUACGAGGCAGGUUUGAUGAUCGAGCUCUUGGAGAGGGAUACCUUCUUGGCUUCCAUCUCUCCCGGAGAUCAAACUUUAUCUCCCAGUAACAGGCAAAGAUCGAGCUGGAUCUCCUAAUCGGAUCGAUCGAAACAAGCUAUGGGAAGUUUGACCAUUCCUUUCCGAGUGGAAAGAAAGGUGGCGGAUCCAACAGACAGUAUAUAUCAACAGGACGACGGACGCUGCAGCAUUUAGAAGUUGACGAGACCAGUAGAACCAACACCAACUUGAAUGACAACUUCUACUACUUGGGCUUUUAAGAGUGUUAAAUUUAUAAUCCAGGGAAGAUUUGUAGACAGUUCCUUUUUGUCCUUCGCUUUUUUCUCUCUUUGAAGCUCGAACCCUGCAAUGCUCUCUUGGUACGAAGAACAGAAACAAAAGAAAAGGAAAAAACACUGACACGGUGACUCAAAAUCAAGAGAGCUCGAGACGAGCGCCUGCUCACUAGUGCCCAAGAUCAAAGUUACAAUCUUUGAAAAACAGCAAGUUACGAAGAACUGGGAGACGAAGCUCCUCCAAAUCUUUAGUCCAGCCGGUCGUGCAUAAACCCCGCUUUAGCGAGUUUCUUCUUGUACAGCUGCACUCUGACAUUCACCUGUGGAGCUUCUGCACCCGAUAGCUGCCAAAUCCAAUAGCUCGUCUCAUCCUUCCUCGUUGCUAUUCCCAAGUAGCCGUCUGUCAACAAGCCAUAUCAACACGUAAUUAGCACACAAACAAACAAGAACCAUUGAAAGACAUAAACAAGAAACACUCACCACGAGAGAAAACAGCACCCCCAUCAAGUUUUGCUCCACUGCCGACACCGAGAUGAGCAAACUUUUGCUUGUAAAUGUCCGCAAUCUUCAGGCCAGAAGGAAGCUCCACCCACUGCAUUUGUCCCCAGUGAGCUUCCAAGUCUCCAGCCUCGUUGCAACCGAGUACUACGUGCUCGCCAAGGUCACGAGAGAGCGUAUCCACGCAUGUGAUGCUGGGAGUGAUGCGGUCUUCCGUCACAAGCACUCGCGCUCCUGCUGCUGGAUCGCCACACAUCUCAUAGGCCUUAAGCACGUAGCCAACAGUACUCUUCUGCUGGGACCUGGGGAACUGGAGUUCAAGUCUCUGAAAAUCUGCCAAGCCGUCUCUUGCCACCACCACACAGGCAUUCCCGCCGAGAUGGACUGCUAGAUGGCCAUACUGAUCGAAUCCGACGACAGCUUCAGCUUUGGCAGCUUUCCAGAUGCGCUCCCAUCCAGCAUACCACCCAUCCACGAUCUUCAGGACGGGUUCUUCCUGCACAAACGAAAAAGAAAAGUCAUGAUCUAUGGUAGAGGAAACCUAUCUAUCUAUCUAUCUGUUGUUUUUGGUCUCGUGGUGCCCAUCUUGAAGCAUGAGACAUAAUGAAUGUACAAAUGCACAAGUGAGAAAACCAAAAGUUCUUACCUUCGAAAAGCCUCCCAAGAUCUCCUCCAAAGAAGGCUGUGGAGGUGGCGCUUGAGACUGGAGCAGCUGCUGGAGCUGCCUGGAGAGUAGCUUCUGCUGGGCAUCAAGCCGUUGAACAUGGUUCUCCAGCCUACGAACAUGGUCUUCCAGCCUAUUCUGCUGCUGAAGUUCCUCUGAAUUAUCCUCCCUUCCUACGUUUAGUCGAAUGUCAUCCUACACAGAAAGAAACAGGGCCCUCGUUAGGGGACAAGAGAGAGAGGACGAAUGGUAGAGCGCAGCGGGGAUGCCAAAGAGAUUCACCUUGAGGAGAACGCCGCCCUCCAUUCGCGCUGUCGCCCAAAACCUAUCCAAGAUAACUUGCUCGUCAACUUUAAAAAGGCAAGGAAAAAUUUCUGACAGCCUUCAAACCCUAGCCAAGAUAACUUGCUCGUCAACUUUAAAAAGGCAAGGAAAAAUUUCUGACAGCCUUCUUUCCAAGUUCCUUGUCACAAAUCUCGCUCGGUGGUUUGAGCGUUUAGCGAUGGCGCGGGUGCGCAGGCUUGCUCCCCAACUAUAUGGGAGAGUUCCACGACAAUUAAACGCGCCAUCUUUGGUUGAACCAGAAACAAAAUCCAUGGCUGUCUCGUCGUCUUUUUCUGCUGCGACCUGCUCAAGCCAUCAGAGCAGCCACGACAGUCCGAGCAUCAGUCAAAAGAUUUGUGACAAGAGAAGAUCCUGGAACUUCUAGCUGGUUCAUAUUAUAAAAUAGAGAAAUAUAACAUACAUUGAAAUUCUUAAUGGCCUCCCAGCAUUCCUAUGAUCACAAAGCCAGACACGAAAACACAGCACUCAUCACCAUCGCUUAAGCCAAUGUUCAUGCCGAUGAGAGCUCCAGAGUCACUAAAAAGCCCACCACCACAUCCAGAAUCACGCAAAAGAUGUCCGGUGUCUCGCCCCCUCCACUUGGUGUCUCGCAAAUCCUCAUUAUACCGGUAGAAAGUAUUCCAUGCCUUACACUGGGAGAUCCACGUCCGGGUAAUAACGGAACUCACCAUUCCUCCUUUUAUAGAGGAUGAUAUCGGACUUGGGAGUGACCGCUUUAACUUUGAGAUCAAUGCUAUCUUGCUCCUCAUCGCCAGCAGUGAGUGCUUGCUUGAAAUGCAAGAUCUCUUCGACUUGUGCUCUUGAGUGUCCGUCGUGCCAAUAUGUAAUCACAUAUUUGGGAGCGAUCACAGUUGCUAGUUCUUGAUCCCCUUCGCCUCCCACGAGAAGAUAUUUCUUACAUCGCUCAACGAAUCUAUUAGCCAUGGAGAACGCACAAAAGAGAUAAGGAGAAAACCUUGUGAGAAUGGAACGGAGAAGAAGCAAAAGAGCCAAGUAGAAACUUGUGAGAAUGGCAAUGAGAAGAAAAAAGCUACUUAGAAAAAGUUGAAGCAAAUAGAAUGGAAAUGAGGAGCAAGAAAGCUAUGAAAAACUUGUAUUUGAAAUUUGAAAGUCGUGUCUAUGUAACAAAACAUCAAUGAUGCACAAUGGAAAACAUGCAAUCAAGAAGGACGUAGAGUGCAAGGAGAUUCAGGGCAGUUUCGAAGAAGGGGUAGAAGAAGCCGCAAAAAAGAAAAGGAGGUGCAAUAGGACUUUGGGGCUGCCGUUGAUCUACACUGGGAAACAAUAGAUAGACAACGUGGGCAUCACUGAGAUCUACAAGAUCAUCACAGGAGAUCCAAAGAGCACACAGCUAAAGUUAUGGUGCUCACUUGGUGCUAUGCAGCUUGCGUCUCAACUUCGAAAAUGAGACAAGGAAGGUUGAAGGGUGGUAGACAUGCAACAAUGAAAUCAUCAAGAACUGCAAUAAGCUUCUCUCAAAAAAUGGUAGAUGACAAAGGUUGGAUCUCAACAGUAUACUCAAAGGAGGACACUUAUAUUAUCUUUUAACAGAUCUGCACAUCUAAACUCAAUGUUAUCUAUCUGGAUUGACUGGCAUGACCCAGCCUUUGGGACAAGAAGAAGGGGCUAAAUCCCAUCCUCACCUCACAAAGUAAGUAAAAUAAUGCAAUUCCUCUCAUAUUCAGUUAAAUUACUAUUGCGGCACAGCUCAUAUUCCCUAUCGGUGGGUGAACAAUUCAGCACUUCGUGAAUUUUGCUUCACAAUGAUAGGAAGAGUUGAUGUUGAAAGAUCAAAAAGCAAUGCCACUAUGAACACUUGGCUGCCACAAGCAAAUUAUCCAUAUGGUAACUUUUUUAACACCUCUAGAAAUUCAGAAACAUUAGAGGAUCAAUAGGGCAUGCUUUCACAUGUAUCUAUGCUGAAAAUCAAAAUCAAAUGAGAUUUUACUAAGAUUUCUAACAACAAGCUUUGAUUAGUGAAAUCUCAACAAUGACUUCUUUGAUUUUUGCAAUGAGGAAGUUUUAUCUUUAUUUGACAAGGAGAAAAACUUGCUCCAAAGGUAAGAAAUCAGCUCUGAUUUCUCAUGUGCUGCACAACCCCAGAGAAGGGGGUCAUUUUAAAUAUCUUUUGUGGAACAGGAAAUACCUUGAUUGCAGCUGCAAACAAUGGUGGACACAUUCUGACCCUGGAGUGUGAUGCAACAAUGAUCCUGCAGAUCAGAAGAAGUAAACUGAAAAAUGAAGAUAUCUAGAGCAAGGAAAACAAGGGAAAGAACAUGAAAACAACACCCCCCAAAGGUUUUGACAA
This 69386-nucleotide long non-coding RNA is filed under the name Selaginella moellendorffii. RNAcentral describes it as "long non-coding RNA (SMOE_LNC001305)". The record is from RNAcentral. Lineage: Eukaryota; Viridiplantae; Streptophyta; Lycopodiopsida; Selaginellales; Selaginellaceae.